Molecule: long non-coding RNA, 47318 nt
Filed under: Panax ginseng (ginseng)
Lineage: Eukaryota; Viridiplantae; Streptophyta; Magnoliopsida; Apiales; Araliaceae
Description: long non-coding RNA (PGIN_LNC009557)
Source: RNAcentral
AUAUAAUUGGUGGUCGUUCUCCUUCCUUGAAAACGGGUGUUGGUGCCGCUGUCUUUCCAUUAUUAUUGAAUAUCCUCUUCUUGAAACUUUCACUUCUAUUAUAUUGGCCAUGAUUACCACCAAAGUGGUUACCAUUUCUGGCAUGAUAAUUUCCUCCACGAUGGUUAUCAUUGUUCCGAUGACCAUUGUCACCGGUAUGAUUAUUAUCGUGUUGUUGCUCGUUAUUCUUUGGUUGGGCUGGCUCAUUAUAGUGCUCCAAUAAUUUAGCCCUAUUCACUACAUCUAAAUACAAACACAAUUUGUGAGAAAUAAGGUAUUGACGUAUUUCGGGUUUUAAACCUCUUAUAAAUAAUCACGUCAUUCGCUCCUCAUUAUCGACCAAAUGGGAUACAAACUGGGACAACUCGGCAAAUUUAGCCUCGUAUUGCGACACGGUCAUAUUGUUUUACUCCAACUUGAUAAACUCCACCUCCUUCAUGUGACGAAUACUUUCAGGAAAGUACUUGUCAUUGAACAACUCUUGGAACUUCUCCCAAGACAUCUUCAGUGCGGCAGGCUGAGUACGUUUUACUGAUUCCCACCAGUAAUCUGCCUCUCCUCGCAACAUGAAGGUGGCAAAGGGAACCUUUUGCUCCUCUGAUCAUUCCAAGAUGUCAAAUAUCUUGGUGAUCUGCUUUAUCCACGUCUCCGCCUUAAGUAGUUUUGGCUCUCCCAAAAACUCCGGUGGUCCCAGCUCCUUGAACUGCUUAGCAGUGACCAACCAUGGGUUGCCAUUGUUUCCACCUGCCUUUUGAAUAGGAGUCUCUCUCACCUGAUGUUGCAUGAAUCGCAUAAAGCCUUUGAACAUCCCAUCGUUCAUCAUCUGAUCGGUGUUGUUGUUUACCUGAGGAUUAUUGUCUUCUUGUUGCACAUUAUCCUGGGUAUUGAUCGUUGGUGACUCAACGGUCUCAUGUGCUUCAUUGCUGAUCUCAACAUUUUCAGAUGCCAUUUUCAAACACUGUCACAAAACUAGGGUUAAUUGACAUAUCACAUAUUAUCCCUAUACUCUGAUCGACCAAUUAAAUACCAAAUAAACUUAGGUAGGUCAUACUAUCGAAGGAAUUCCCCGUCUCUCCCCUCCUAGUUCUUGUCUCACAUCUCAGCUAGGGAUUAUAUCCCUAAGCUUUGAUACCAACUGUGACGCCCCCAAAACAGGUAUACAUCACCCAUCUUGAGUCGCCAAAUACAUGGUACAUAAAUCAAAUACAAACUUAAUUAUACAACUGUCGGCUAAUAUACGACAAAACAUAGUUGAGAGUUUAAACAAGAAUAUUGCCUUCUAGACAAUAUCCAUUCUAAAUGGAGUCCUCAUUACAAUUAUUAUCACACUAUUUCACAGAAUAGUGAGGAAUACUAAAACAACCAUCUGGACCGUCAAUCCGUUCCCCGACUCGUCCCAGCUAUAUUCUCAUUUCUAGAAGAGAGCAGUAAAAGAAAGGGUGAGCUCAACUAGCCCAGUAAGAAAUAUUAUGACUAAGAGAAUGCAUAAUAAAUUAUCCUUAGCCUUCAACAGUAUAACAAUCGAUAGAAUAUAAUAGACAAUAAUUUUUAGAUCAACAACUGCAGCGGAAUAAGCAAUCCAUUAGAAGAGUCAAGUAGAGCAUAAAAUCUACUAUCGUUUAUGAUUUAAAAAGGUUUUCAUCAACUUUAUCGCUGAGACUAAGCUUAAUAAAUAAUCCACAUUAUCGAAUCAUCCCUGCACCACGACCAAGGAUAUUCAUGUAAUCAUCAAUGGUCAUGAUUAUACCAAAUAACCUCUGGUCAUAAUCAUACGAACAACUGUGCAUCAAUGAACUACAGGCCAAUGAGGACUUCCACCACAUCAUUCGUCACAGUACGGUCAUGAUUAUACCGAAUAAUCCCUGGUCAUAAUCAUACCAAGUCUAUCUAUGCACGUAAGCCAAAUAUGACUUUCAUCAUAAUAUAAGCAUGAGGAUGAUGACAAUGACAUAAUAAUUCAAUAAAACAAGUUCAAGGAUAAAUUUUAAAGAUUUAUAAUUUAAUUUAUCCAGAAUUCAAUAACGUUCAAUUUGUCAAUAAUAUGAGAUAUAUGAUGCAGCAAUUACUGUAGCAAUAAUUGAGUAUAAUUGAGUGACUUCUUACGUAAGUAUCAAUAAUCAAUACCAUGUGUUACUAUGCAACUACACGUAUUACUGUACUUUUACUACCGGGUAGUUCAACAGUUUUAACAGUAACACUUUCGCCGUUAUUUUUAUAAAAUGAUAACUCUGUCAUUUUCUAACUACGACAAUACUUCCAUUGUGGGGUCCACCAAUGAUUGUGCCGUCGUACGGAUAUUCUCGACAAAAAGAACAUUCCCCGACCAAACGAAUAUUUUAUAACAACUUGCUUACUUUGUAAAAAUUUUCACAUAUCACCCUUAACUUUAACCUUUUAUCAAUUUAACCAUUUACUAAAUAGAAUAAUAAUUAUAAGAAAAUUGAAUACUUUCAUCUCAUAAAAUUUGGGGUCUUACAAAAUAUGUUGGUGGGCCCCAUUUUUGACUGAAAUUUGAUUAUAGCCUAUAAAAUCAUCCGUAUGUGGAUUUCGGUCAAUUUCUGCUUGGAAUUUAGAAAAACUUAAACUUACAAAGUUGUAGAGAAUUGAAUUUUCUAUGGAAUGGACAUAAGAUUCGAAUUUUUCUGAUAAAAGGGAUAUUUAUUAUGAAUUAUUGACGUUCCAGAAUAAUUGAUUUUUGGAGUUUAAAAUAUUUAUUUUAAGAAAAACGGUUUAGCAAUUGGGUGGGCCCCACUUGUGUUGUAAAUGUGCUGAGUUCAGAUUUCAAUAGGUGGGCGCGAAAUUUUCUAAUAAAUAUUAUUAUUUUAUUAAAUUUUCUGCUUUGGUGUUCUAAGCAUUUUCUUAUAAAUAGGGUGCUUAGGUUAGAAUUGAAAAUCACACCAGAAACUAAAGUUUUCUCUCUUUAUAUUAUCGAACGUAUUUUUGUGAGUAUUUUGAUACUUUGAGUUUUGCUAUACGGUGCAAGUUCCCUUCAGCGUUAUAUCUGAUAUUCUAGCCAGAAGUACUAUUCUUUUGAGGUAAGAGAUGCUAUUUUUUUUAUAAAUGAUAUUAUUUCUUUCAAUAUCAUUAUGUCGGAAUAUUGGUAAGAUUUUUCUUGUAAAAUUCUUGUCUUUUUGUGUCGAGGUUGCUAUUCACGUAUACGGCACUAUUCAUGUAUACGGUACUAUUCACAGAAAAAUUAAAUUUUUUUUAUUUUUUUUUCUUGUCCAAGUUGUUUAUUAUGGUUACUAGCUUUGAUUGUAUCCAUGUUUAGAUCUUCAUUCUUGAAUUUUACUCCACAAUGAUUUAUUAUGGAGUAUUUUUGAACUUGUAUAAACUAAAGUACGAAUCCUUAAACCUUGUCCUUUUAUCUCACUAGAUUCAUUUUUUUAAAAUAUUUUCAUCAUUCUCAGUCCUAAAUGGUGAUAUAACUGAAUAUCUUUGGCCUGUAGUGCAAAGAUGAAUAGGUGUUGAGAUGAACAUGACCAACUGGGGAUACGAUUAAAUAUUUUGGUCGUAUUGCAAAUAUGAGUAUUUGAUUCAAGUUAUAUAUUGAUUGAUGUCACAGGGAUAAAAUAUUGAUGAUGAAUUUUAAAAUCAUAGAAGAUAGUAGAUUUCAUUCUCCACUUAACUCUUUUAAUGAAUUGUUAUUUUCGCUGCGAAUAUUGAUCCAAAACUUGUUGUCUAUUAUAUUCUAUCAGAUUUUUUCCUAUUGAGGACUAACGAUAAUUUGUUCUAUAUUAUCUUAGUCAUAAUGUUCUUUACUGGGCUAGUUGAGCUCACCCUUUUCCUUUUUGUUCCAUUUUUCUUCUCAGGAGGCGAGAAUGUAGCGGGUACUAGUCGGGGUAUGGAAUGAUGGUUCUAGAAAGUUGUUUAGCAAUCCUUACUAUUUUUGUAAAAUAAAGUUUCAAUAAUUGUAAUGAGGACUUAUUUGAGUUUGAAUACUGUCUAGAAGACAAUAUUUGUAUUUAAACUCACAGUAUAUGUGUUGUCGUAUUUUGCACGACAAUUGUAAUAAUGAAGUUGUAGUUAUUUUCUGUACCAUGUAUUUGGCGACUCAGAAUAGUUGAUGUAUACCUAUUUUGGGGGCGUCACAGUUGGUAUCUGAGCUUAAGGAUAUGGUUUCUGGCGGAGAUCGGGGAAUAGAACUAGGAGGGGAGAGACGAGUAAAUCCUUCGCUGGUAUGUCCUACCUAAGCUUAUUUGUUAGUUGGUAAGAGUAUAGGGUUAUUAUGUUGCAUGUCAAUUUCUUUAAUUAACCCUUGUUUUGUGGCAGUAUUUAAAAAUGACAGCUGAAAAUAUUAACGAUGGAGUGAAUGAGACUGUGGAAACACCUUUAAUCACCAACCAGGAGAAUGUGCAAUAGGACGAUAAUGUUCCUCCUGUAAACAACACCACUGAGCAGACGAUGAACGAUGAGAUGUUUAGAAGCUUUUUGCGGUUCAUGUAAAACCAAACGAGGGAGACUCCUGUUCAAAAUACAGGUAGAAAUAAUGGCAACUCACAGCUGGUCACUACUAAGCAAUUCAAGGAGUUGGGACCGCCAGAGUUUUUGGAAAAGCCAGAUCCGAUCAAAGCAGAAACGUGGGUUAAGCAAAUUACCAAGAUAUUUGAUAUCUUGGGAUGCACGGAGGAACAGAAGGUUCUAUUUGCCACUUUUAUAUUCCGUGGUGAGGAAGAUUAUUGGUGGGAAUCUAUAAAGCAUACCCAGCCUGCCGCAUUCAAUAUGUCUUGGGAAGCAUUUUAGAAACUGUUUAAUGACAAGUACUUUCCUGAAAGUAUCCGUCAUAUGAAGGAGGUAGAGUUUAUCAGACUAGAACAGAACAACAUGAAUGUGUCCCAGUUUGAGGCUAAGUUCGCAAAGUUAUCCAGGUUUGCACUUCAUUUGGUAGAGAAUGAGGAACGUAUGACGCGGAUGUUUAUGAGAGGUUUGAAACCCGACAUUCGUUAAUACCUCAUUUCUCACAAAUUUUCUCUAUAUUCAGAUAUUGUCAACAGGGCUCAAUUAUUAGAGCGAGAUAAUGAGUAUGUUCAACUGAGGGACCACAACCAGGGUCAGACCGGUGGCAGCAGUCAUCGGAGCAAUGAUAACCAGCGGGGAGGAAUGAAUACGGACAAAAGUGGUAACCACUCUGGUGGUAAUCGUGGCCAUGAUAGUAGAAGAAGCGAGUCAGGGGGAGAUUUCAAAAAGAGAAGGUACAACAAUGACAACGUGAAGACGUCAGCACCAACAUCAACUGUUUCUAGGGGAGGAGAACGACCACCGGUCGUAUGUUAUAAAUGCGGGAAAGAGAGACAUAUCAGCCUAAACUGCCCACGACAAUCCAAGGUGUCGACGUCAGGAUUUUUAUUUGUCCCUUUUCGUUACUUGUUCUUUGGUGUUCUCAUAUUAGGUGAGAUUUAUUUAAAAAAACAAGUGAAAAAGGUCCGAUAUGUGUAAUGUCGACGAUGGACUGUUAAGAGUCGCCAGUUGGUGUUUUUAAAUGGUUGCACCAACGCAAUCGAGAAAAGGAUUGCACAUUGACCCAAUGAUGUAACACUACUAAAUGGGUCUGUAAAACCGAGAUUCAUUUUGGGUCCGGGGGUUUGAUUAUGCGGAUGGAAGGAAUUAUGUGACGCCCCCAAAAUAGGUAUACAUCACCCAUCUUGGGUCACCAAAUACAUGGUAUAUAAUAAAAAUACAAGCUUAAUUAUACAACUGUCAUGUAACAUACGACAAAACAUAGCUGAGAAUUUUAGCUCGAAUAUUCUCUUCUAGACAGUAUUCAAACACAAAUAAGUCCUCAGUUAUUAUCACACUAUUUCACAGAAUAGCGAGGACUACUAAUGCAAACAUCUGGACCGUCAAUCCAUUCCCCGACUAGUCCCAGCUACGUUCUCAAUUCCUGAAGAGAACAGUGAAAGAAAGGGUGAGCUCAACUAGCCUGGUAAGAAAUAUUACGACUAAGAUAAUACAGAAUAAAUUAUCCUUAGCCUUCAACAGUAUAACAACUAAUAGAAUAUAAUAGACAAAUAGUUUAACUGCAGCGGAAUAAGCAAUCCAUUAGAAGAGUCAAGUAGAACAUAAUGUCUACUAUCUCCUCUAGAUUAAAAGUCCAUCGUUAAUAUUUCAUUCCUGUAAUACUCAUCAACAGUUCUUUGUUAUACUCAAGACAAAUAGAACUCUUAUCACCUGUCUUCACCUGAACCACCACAGAUUAUAAUCACAAUUUAUAUUUAUAAUCAAAUAAAUUAACAGUCCAACUUUGCACGUAAGCCAAAGAUAUACAACUGAAAAACUAAUAAUGCUGAGACUCAACUCAAUAGUAUCACGACCACGAAUUAUCCAUGCACUAUGGGCCAAGGAUAUUCGUGUUUUCAAUUAUGGUCAUGAUUAUACCGAAUAAUCUCUGGUCAUAAUCAUACCAAGUUCAUCUAUACACUAUAGGCCAAAGAUGACUUUUACCACAUCCAUGAAUUAAUAUUUCAUCGCUGAGACUCAGCUCAAUAAUUAAUCCACAUCAUUGAAUCAUCCCUGCAUUACAGGCCAAUGAUAUUCAUUAGUAUCACGACCACAAAUUAUCCAUGCACUACGGGCCAAGGAUAAUCAUGUUUUCAUCAACGGUCAUGAUCAUGCCAUAAAACAAUUCAUAUUUGCACCCUUGGCCUAAGAGAACCCAUAGCCAUGAUUAUACCAAAAAUUGUCCAUCAUUGCACUACGGGCCAAUGAGGAUUUUUACCACAUUAUUUGUAACAUUACGGUCAUGAUUAUAUCGAAUAAUCCCUGGUCAUAAUCAUACCAAGUCCAUCUAUGCACUACGGCCAAAGAUGACUUUCAUAACAAUAUAAGCAUGAGGAUGAUGACAAUGAUAUAAUAAUUAAAAAAACAAGUUCAAGGAUAAAUUUUAAAGAUUUAUAAUUUAAUUUAUCCAGAACUCAAUAAUGUUCAAAUUGUCAACAUGAUACUGCUUUGUGGAGUAAAAUUCAAGAAUAAUAUUGUAUCAAAAAUGAUUUGAACAAAAAAUAAUAUUUCAAUGAAGAUAAUAAUAAUAUUCAUUAUAUUAUAAACUCCAUUUAAUAUUAUUCAUUAUAUAAUAACAUUAAAUUUAUUUACUAAUAUUAUUAAUCAUUAAAUAAUAUUUUAAAUCAAUGAUUUUAUAAUACCUUAAUCCAAAUGUUAUCAAUCAGUUAAUAAUGUCAUAAUCUAAUAUUAUUAAUAUUAUAAUAAUAUUUUAAUUGUUUACACUUUACCAAAUAUUGUAUUUAAUCAUUCAAAAAUGCCAUACUCAUUUCAUCACCAAUGAUCAAAUCCCUCAUCAAAAAUAUGCAUAUACCUUAUAUAGGAUUUUCAAGCCAUAAAAUCUUAUUUACCAAUUUUUUAACUUUUCAUAACAUAUUUAAUUCAUAUGUUCGUAACUAAACCAUUUUCAUGAAAAAUGCCAAAUCAGUCCCAAAAAUAUUUUUUUUCUGGGAUUUAAAAGAAUAUAGUCCCAUAUUGAACAUAUAUUUUUCUCAGAAUUUUUAAAAUUUAUUUAUUAUUUUUCAUAUGGCCAAAACUGUCAAAUAUUUAGAUAUUUAUCAUAAACUAUAAUUUUAUCCCAAAAAUUCCAAAAUUUACAGGGUAUACUCCGGUUAUAAGGGUUUACUUUUAAAAUAGUAUUUUUUUUAUAAAAUUCAUAACUCCUAAUUUAUACACCCAAAAAUCUCUAUUUUUGGACACAAUCUAGAAAACUCAUCAAUUUAACUUUUUAAAUUUUUUCAGAAUUUUUGAGUGUCAAAAAAAUUACGAAAAAUGCCCCUGGCAGAAACCCCUUACUUACAGCGGUUGAACGAAAAUAAUAUUCAUACGAAUACGAAAAAUAAUUUCUCUUCAGAAUAUGAAAUAAAUAAUAAUCCUUACGAAUAUUGAACGAUAAUAAUAUUCAUAUGAAUAUGAAAAAUAAUUUCUCUUCAGAAUGAACAAAAUAAUAAUAAUCCUUAUCUCAAAAAGAAGAGUAUUCCAACUGGUAUAGCGGAUAUAUUCUUGAAGAAAACUUUCACUGUUUUUUACGCUCAAAGCUUUCUAAAACUCUAAAGAAAUACGCUCUAUAUUAUAGAAGAAGAAUUCUCUGAUUCUGGUGUGAUUUUCAAUUCUCACUAAGCAUCCUAUUUUUAGGAGAAUGGAAGGGGUACUGUUAAGAAAAAAUCACGGACGAAAAUUUUGAAAUUCACGGGCAGAAUUCUUAAAAUUCUUAGACGCACAUUUUAAAAACAUAAUAAUAUAAUAUUCAAGUAAAAAAAAUAACUUUAUAUAUAAUAUAAUAUAUUCUAUUUUUCAUAAAAAAACAAAACUUAUUAUAAUAUAUAUUAUAAUAUAUAUUUAUAUAUAUAAUAAUAAUAAUAAUAAUAAUAAUAAUAAUAAUAAUAAUAAUAAUAAUAAAAAUUAUACUCCCUCAUCUUCACGUACUUUUCCCCCUCCCCCAUUUUUUUUUCUUCCCAUCCAAUUNNNNNNNNNNNNNNNNNNNNNNNNNNNNNNNNNNNNNNNNNNNNNNNNNNNNNNNNNNNNNNNNNNNNNNNNNNNNNNNNNNNNNNNNNNNNNNNNNNNNUUGACAUUGUUUGACAAAAUUAACACUGUAACCACAAUUAUACACCAAAUUGAUUCAUUCGAACUACGUUUUCUCCAUUUCUUAACAUCUUAACAUAUUCAAGUUUCAAAUUAUCUAUUCACUCAUAAUCAAAUAUCAAUUUUGGUACUCUUAAAAGUCAUGUUCAUACAUAUGUUCACUGUAAAACCAUUUUCUUAUUUUUGAAUGUAAAGAAAGCAAUUUAGUACACUAAAUCCUUAUCUAGAUGUUAGUCCUAACAUCACAAACAAAUAUAAUCAUCAAAUCAAGUUGUAUAUCAACAAUUCUACAAAACUUGAUUCACAAAACUUGAAAAUUCAUGUCGUAAAACAUAUAUAUAUAUAUAUAUAUAUAUAUAAUAAAGUUAAUAACUCCCUCCUUCCUACGACAACUCCCUUCCCCCUAAUUUCAGAUUUCUAACAUUCACAUAUGGACCCCAUAUGUGGGCCCCACCUUUAUUAUAUUAAAUAAUUUUCUACCGAUUAUUUUAAAAAAUGGGUAAAUGGGGUCCAUAAAAUACGCAACAAAUUACAAUAAAUACUUCAUAAAAAUUCCCUCAAUAUUUUUAACAACAUUUUCAUUUUUGAAUUUUCAAAUUUUGACUUUUUCUAAAAAAGGCAACUGUUGACUUUUUGACCAAAAAGUCAACCCCGAAAAUUUUUGUGUUUAUAGUCUAUUCUUACCAAUUUCAUCAUUCUGGACUCAAAUAUCACGUCCGCGUCUCCAAAUUCAACUCCGAACUCAAAUUCUAUUUUUAAUAACAUUUAUUUAUUAUUAUUAUUAUAACUCGCAAUAUUAACAACCAGGUCGUUCCCAGGAAAGAGGGGCUUUUCGAUAAAGAUUUCUCCCUAUUGGCGCGCAAUUAGAUUAUCUAACCUCUCUUUGAAAGAACUUCUAGACAUUGUCAAUAUUGCAAAUAAUAAUAUGAAUAACUUUGUCGUCUCAAUUAUUGAUUUAAUAAUAUAAAAUAUUGUAACAAUAAUUGAACAAACUGAGUGACUUCUCACGUAAGCAUCAAUAAUCAAUACCGUGAGCUACUAUGCAACCACGCGUAUUACUGUACUUUUAUCACCGAUUAUUUUAUGACAACUUGCUUACUUUAAUUUUUUUUUAAAUAUCACCCUUAACUUUAACCUUUUAUCAAUUUAACCAUUUAAAAUAAAAUAAUAAUUAUAAGAAAAUUGAAUACUUUUAUUUCAUAAAAUUCUAGGUCUCACAAUCUCCUCUUUUUAUAAAAUUUUGCCCUCAAAAUUUACGUACGUACCUGGUAUUCGAAGAGAUGAGAAUACCUUGCUUUCUUUUCGGAUUGUACCUUCCCGAUUAUUUCCUCUCUAUCAUGAUUUUCUCAUUUCUCAUCUCAUGUAUUUAAGAUAUCAUUCUAGAAUAUAGUUUCAAAAUAAGGGUUAAUUGACAUGCCACAUAUUAUCCCUAUACUCUGACCGACCAAUUAAAUACCAAAUAAAUUUAGGUAGGUUAUACCAGCGAAGGAAUUCCCCGUCUCUCCCUUCGUAGUUCUUAUCUCACAUCUCAGCCAAGGUUCAUAUCCUUAAGCUCUGAUACCAACUGUGACACCCCCAAAAUAGGUAUACAUCACCCAUCUUGGGUUGCCAAAUACAUGGUAUAUAAUACAAACACAAGCUUAAUUAUACAACUAUCGUGUAACAUACGACAAAACAUAGCUGAGAAUUUUAGCUCGAAUAAUGUCUUCUAGACAGUAUUCAAACACAAAUAAGUCCUCAUUUAUUAUCACACUAUUUCACAGAAUAGUGAGGACUACUAAUGCAAACAUCUGAACCGUCAAUCCAUUCCCCGACUAGUCCCAGCUACGUUCUCAAUUCUUGAAGAGAACAGUGAAAGAAAGGGUGAGCUCAACUAGCCCAGUAAGAAAUAUUAUGACUAAGAUAAUGCAGAAUAAAUUAUCCUUAGCCUUCAACAGUAUAACAACUGAUAGAAUAUAAUAGACAACAAGUUUAACUGCAGCGGAAUAAGCAAUCCAUUAGAAGAGUCAAGUAAAAUAUAAUGUCUACUAUCUCCUCUAGAUUAAAAGUCCAUCGUUAAUAUUUCAUUCCUGUAAUACUCAUCAACUGUUCUUUGUUAUACUCAAGAUAAAUAGAACUCUUAUCACCUGUCUUCACCUGAACCACCACAGAUUAUAAUCACAAUUCAUAUUUAUAAUCAAAUAAAUCAACAGUCCAACUUUGCACGUAAGCCAAAGAUAUACAACUGAAAAACUUAUAAUGCUGACACUCAGCUCAAUAAUAUCACGACCACGAAUUAUCCAUGCACUACGGGCCAAGGAUAUUCGUGUUUUCAAUUACGGUCAUAAUUAUACCGAAUAAUCCCUAGUCAUAAUCACACCAAGUCCAUCUAUGCACUACAGGCCAAAGAUGACUUUUACCACAUCCAUGAAUUAAUAUUUCAUCACUGAUACUCAGCUCAAUAAUUAAUCCACAUCAUCGAAUCAUCCAUGCACUACAGGCCAAGGAUAUUCAUUAGUAUCACGACCACGAAUCAUCUAUGCACUACGGGCCAAGGAUAAUCGUGUUUUCAUCAACGGUCAUGAUCAUGCCAUAAAAUAAUUCAUAUUUGCACCCUUGGCUUAAGAGAACCCAUAGCCAUGAUCAUACCAAAAACUGUCCAUCAUUGCACUACGGGCCAAUGAAGAUUUUUACCACAUCAUUUGUAACAUUACGGUCAUGAUUAUACCGAAUAAUCCCUGGUCAUAAUCAUGCCAAGUCCAUCUAUGCACUAUGGCCAAAGAUGACUUUCAUAACAAUAUAAGCAUGAGGUUGAUGACAAUGAUAUAAUAAUAAAAAAAACAAGUUCAAGGAUAAAUUUUAAAGAUUUAUAAUUUAAUUUAUUCAGAACUCAAUAACGUUCAAAUUGUCAACAUGAUACUGCUUUGUGGAGUAAAAUUCAAGAAUAAUAUUGUAUCAAAAAUGAUUUAAACAGAAAAUAAUAUUUCAACGAAGAUAAUAAUAAUAUUCAUUAUAUUAUAAACUCUAUUUAAUAUUAUUCAUUAUAUAAUAACAUUAAAUUUAUUUAUUAAUAUUAUUAAUCGUUAAUAAUAUUUUAAAUCAAUGAUUUCAUAAUACCUUAAUCCAAAUGUUAUCAAUCAGUUAAUAAUAUCAUAAUAUAAUAUUAUUAAUAUUAUAAUAAUAUUUUAAUCAUUUCUUAAACUUAUAAAUAAUUUAUUUUAAUUGUUCACACUUUACCAAAUAAUGCAUUUAAUCAUUCAAAAAUGCCAUACUCAUAAGAUUUCAUCACCAAUGAUCAAAUUCCUAAUCAAAAAUAUGCAUAUACCUUAUAUAGGAUUUUCAAGCCAUAAAAUCUUAUAUACCAAUUUUUUAACUUCUCAUAACAUAUUUAAUUCACAUGUUCGUAACUAAACCAUUUCCAUGAAAAAUGCCAAAUCAGUCCCAAAAAUAUUUUUUUUUCUGGGAUUUAGCAGAAUAUAGUCCCAUAUUGAACAUAUAUUUUUCUCGGAAUUUUUAAAAUUCAUUUACUAUUUUUCAUAUGGCCAAAACUGUCAAAUAUUUAGACAUUUAUUAUAAACUGUACUUUUAUCCCAAAAAUUCCAAAAUUUACAGGGUAUACUCCUGUUAUAUACAUGUACUCCCAAUAAAAAUUUCACCAAUUUUGGAGUUAGCCACAAGGAGUUAUAAGGGUUUACUUUUAAAAUAGUAAUUUCUCAUAAAAUUCAUAACUUCUAAUCUAUACAUCCAAAAAGCGCAAUUUUUGGACACAAUCUAGAAAACUCAUCAAGUUAUCAUUUUAAAUUUUUUCAGAUUUUUUGAGGGUCAGAAAAAUUAUGAAACUACCCCUGGCAGAAACCCCUUACUUACAACGGUUGAACGAAAAUAAUAUUCAUACGAAUACGAAAAAUAAUUUCUCUUCAGAAUAUGAAAUAAAUAAUAAUCCUUACGAAUAUUGAACGAUAAUAAUAUUCAUACGAAUAUAAAAAAUAAUUUUUCUUCAGAAUGAAAAAAUAAUAAUAAUCCUUACCUAAAAAAAAGAGUAUUCCAACUGGUAUAGCUGAUAUAUUCUUGAAGAAAACUUUCACGGUUUUCUACGCUCAAAGCGUUCUAAAACUCUAAAGAAAUACGCUCAAUAUUAUAGAAGAAGAAUUCUCUGAUUUUGGUGUGAUUUUCAAUUCUAACUAAGCAUCCUAUUUUUAGGAUAAUGGAAGGGGUACUGUUAAGAAAAAAUCACAGACGAAACUUUUGAAAUUCACGGGCAGAAUUCUUAAAAUUCUCAGACGCACAUUUUAAAAACAUAAUAAUAUAAUAUUCAAGUAAAACAAAUAACUUUAUAUAUAAUAUAAUAUAUUCUAUUUUUCAUAAAAAACAAAACUUAUUAUAAUAUAUAUAAUAAUAUAUAAUAAUAAUAAUAAUAAUAAUAAUAAUAAUAAUAAUAAUAAUAAUAAAAUUAUACUCCCUCAUCUUCACGUACUCUUCCCCCUCCCCCAUUCUUUUCUUCCCAGCCAAUUUUCCAUUCAUCCAACAAAAUUCAAAUGUGGACCCCACCAUUAUAUAUAUAUAAAAAAACAAAAUUAUAUAAUACAUAUAAUCAAAACAUCACCAUUACCAAAUUUAUACACCACCUGUAACUUCAUUUCUCCCACCAAAGACUUUGUUACACACGUGGGCCCCACCCCUUAAAAUAACUUUCUAUCGAUUAUUUUGAAAAAUGGGUAAAUGGGGGUCCAACAAAUACUUCAUAAAAAUCUCCUCAAUUAUUUUAACAAUAUUUAUAAUCAUUAUUAUAAUUCACAAUAUUAAUUUACCAGGUCGUUUCCAAGAAAGAGGGGGCUUUCCAAUAAGGAUUUCUCCCUAUUGGCGCGCAAUUAGGUGACCAAACUUCUCCUUGGCAGAACUUUUAGACAUCUUUAAUAUUGCAAAUAAUAAUAUUAAUAACUCUGUCAUCUCAAUUAUUGAUUUAAUAAUAUAUAAAAUAUCGACAAUAAUUGAAUAAAACUGAAUGACUUCUUACGUAAGCAUCAAUAAUCAAUACCGUGUGCUACUAUGCAACCACGCGUAUNNNNNNNNNNNNNNNNNNNNNNNNNNNNNNNNNNNNNNNNNNNNNNNNNNNNNNNNNNNNNNNNNNNNNNNNNNNNNNNNNNNNNNNNNNNNNNNNNNNNUUUCAGAUUUCUAACAUUCACAUUGGACCCCACAUGAGGGCCCCACGUUUAUUAUAUUAAAUAAUUUUCUACCGAUUAUUUUAAAAAAUGGGUAAAUGGGGUCCAUAAAAUAUGCCAAAAAUUACAACAAAUACUUCAUAAAAAUUCCCUCAAUAUUUUUAACAACAUUUUCAUUUUUGAAUUGUCAAAUUUUGACUUUUUCUGAAAAAGUUAACUAUUGACUUUUUGACCAAAAAGUCAACCCCAGAAAAUUUUGUAUUUAUAGUCUAUUUUUACUAAUUUCAUCAUUCUGGACUCAAAUAACACGUCCCCGUCUCCAAAUUCAACUCUGAACUCAAAUUCUAUUUUUAAUAACAUUUAUUUAUUAUUAUUAUAACUUGCAAUAUUAACAACCAGGUCGUUCCCAGGAAAGAAUGGGCUUUCCGAUAAGGAUUUCUCUCUAUUGGCGCGCAAUUAGAUUAUCUAACUUCUCCUUGAUAGAACUUCUAGACAUUGUCAAUAUUGCAAAUAAUAAUAUGAAUAACUUUGUCGUCUCAAUUAUUGAUUUAAUAAUAUAAAAUAUUGUAACAAUAAUUGAACAAAACUAAGUGACUUCUCACAUAAGCAUCAGUAAUCAAUACCGUGUGCUACUAUGCAACCACACGUAUUACUGUACUUUUAUCACCUAUUAUUUUAUGACAACUUGCUUACUUUGAAAUUUUUUCAAAUAUCACCCUUAACUUUAACCUUUUAUAAAUUUAACUAUUUACUAAAUAAAAUAAUAAUUAUAAUAAAAUUGAAUACUUUUAUUUCAUAAAAUUCGGGGUCUCACAAUCUCCCCUCUUUAUGAAAUUUUGCCCUUGAAAUUUACGUACAUACCUGGUAUUCGAAGAGAUGAGAAUAUCUUGCUUUCUUUUCGGAUUGUACCUUCCCGGUUAUUUCCUCUCGAUCAUGAAUUUCCCAUUUCUCAUCUCUUGUAUUUCAGAUAUCAUUCUAGAAUAUAGUUUCAAAAUAAGUGUUAAUUGACAUGCCAUAUAUUAUCCAUAUACUCUGACCGACCAAUUAAAUACCAAAUAAAUUUAGGUAGGUCAUACCAGUGAAGGAAUUCCCUGUCUCUUCCCUCCUAGUUCUUGUCUCACAUCUCAGCCAGGGAUCAUAUCCCUAAGCGCUGAUACCAACUGUGACGCCCCCAAAAUAGGUAUACAUCACCCAUCUUGGGUCGCCAAAUACAUGGUACAUAAUACAAAUACAAGCUUAAUUAUACAACUGUCGUGUAACAUACGACAAAAUAUUGCUGAGAAUUUUAGCUCGAAUAUUGUCUUUUAGACAGUAUUCAAACACAAAUAAGUCCUCAUUUAUUAUCACAUUAUUUCACAGAAUAUUGAGGACUACUAAUGCAAACAUCUGGACCGUCAAUCCAUUUCCCGACUAGUCCCAGCUACGUUCUCAAUUACUGAAGAGAACAGUGAAAGAAAGGGUAAGCUCAACUAGCCCAGUAAAAAAUAUUAGGACUAAGAUAAUGCAGAAUAAAUUAUCCUUAGCCUUCAACAGUAUAACAACUGAUAGAAUAUAAUAGACAACAAGUUUAACUGAAGCGGAAUAAGCAAUCCAUUAGAAGAUUCAAGUAGAAUAUAAUGUCUACUAUCUCCUCUAGAUUAAAAGUCCAUCAUUAAUAUUUCAUUCCUGUAAUACUCAUAAACAAUUCUUUGUUAUACUCAAAACAAAUAGAACUGUUAUCACCUGUCUUCACCUGAACCACCACAGAUUAUAAUCACAAUUCAUAUUUAUAAUCAAAUAAAUCAACAGUCCAACUUUGCAUGUAAGCCAAAGAUAUACAACUGAAAAACUAAUAAUGCUGAGACUCAGCUCAAUAGUAUCACGACUACGAAUUAUCCAUGCACUACGGGCCAAAAAUAUUCGUGUUUUCAAUUACGGUCAUGAUUAUACCUAAUAAUCCCUAGUCAUAAUCAUACCAAGUCCAUCUAUGCACUACAGGCCAAAGAUGACUUUUACCACAUCCAUGAAUUAAUAUUUCAUCGCUGAGACUCAGCUUAAUAAUUAAUCCACAUCAUCAAAUCAUCCCUGCACUACAGGCCAAGGGUAUUCAUUAGUAUCACGACCACGAAUUAUCCAUGCACUAUGGGCCAAGGAUAAUUGUGUUUUCAUCAACGGUCAUGAUCAUGCCAUAAAACAAUUCAUAUUUGCACCCUUGGCCUAAGAGAACCCAUAGCCAUGAUAAUACCAAAAACUGUCCAUUAUUGUACUAUGGGCCAAUGAGGAUUUUUACCACAUCGUUUGUAACAAUAUGGUCAUGAUUAUACCGAAUAAUCUCUGGUCAUAAUCAUACCAAGUCCAUCUAUGCACUACGGCCAAAGAUGACUUUCAUAACAAUAUAAGCAUGAUGAUGAUGACAAUGAUAUAAUAAUUAAAAAAACAAGUUCAAGGAUAAAUUUUAAAGAUUUAUAAUUUAAUUUAUCCAGAACUCAAUAACGUUCAAAUUGUCAACAUGAUACUGAUUUGUGGAGUAAAAUUCAAGAAUAAUAUUGUAUCAAAAAUGAUUUAAACAGAAAAUAAUAUUUCAACGAAGAUAAUAACAAUAUUGAUUAUAUUAUAAACUCCAUUUAAUAUUAUUCAUUAUAUAAUAACAUUAAAUUUAUUUAUUAAUAUUAUUAAUUAUUAAAUAAUAUUUUAAAUCAAUAAUUUAUAAUGCCUUAAUCCAAAUGUUAUCAAUCACUUAAUAAUAUCACAAUCUAAUAUUAUUAAUAUUAUAACAAUAUUUUAAUCAUUUCUUAAACUUAUUAAUAAUUUAUUGUAAUUGUUCAUAUUUUACCAAAUAAUACAUUUAAUCAUUCAAAAAUGCCAUACUCAUAAGAUUUCAUCACCAAUGAUCAAAUCCCUCAUCAAAAAUUUGCAUAUAUCUUAUAUAGGAUUUUCAAGCCAUAAAAUCCUAUUUACCAUUUUUUUAACUUCUCAUAACAUAUUUAAUUCAUAUAUUCAUAACUAAACUAUUUCCAUGAAAAAUACCAAAUCUGUCCCAAAAAUAUUUCUUUUUUGGGAUUUAGCAGAAUAUAGUCCAAUAUUGAACAUAUAUUUUUCUCGGAAUUUUUAAAAUUCAUUUACUAUUUUUCAUAUGGCCAAAACUGUCGAAUAUUUAGACAUUUAUCAUAAACUGUACUUUUAUCCCAAAAAUUCUGAAAUUUACAGAUUAUACUCCUGUUAUAUACAUGUACUCCCAAUAAAAAUUUCACCAAUUUUGGAGUUAACCACAAGGAGUUACAAGAAUUUACUUUUAAAAUAGUAUUUUCUCAUAAAAUUUAUAACUCCUAAUCUAUACAUUCAAAAAUCGCCAUUUUUGGACACAAUCUAGAAAACUCAUCAAGUUGUUAUUUCAAAUUUUUUCAAAAUUUUUGAGGGUCAAAAAAAUUAUGAAACUGCCACUGGCAGAAACCCUUUACUUAUAACGGUUGAACGAAAAUAGUAUUCAUACGAAUACGAAAAAUAAUUUCUCUUCAGAAUAUGAAAUAAAUAAUAAUCCUUACGAAUAUUGAACGAUAAUAAUAUUCAUACGAAUAUGAAAAAUAAUUUCUCUUCAGAAUGAAAAAAAUAAUAAUAAUCCUUACCUCAAAAAGAAGAGUAUUCCAACUGGUAUAGCGGAUAUAAUUUUGAAGAAAACUUUCACUGUUUUCUACGCUCUGUAGACACUCGAAAUUUUCUGCACUCCUAUUACUAACAUUGCAGGAGGGUAGAUUCGUCUUUUGGAGAUAGCCUUGAAAGACGGCCUACAACAGUUCCGGAUACUACCGGGAGUUCCGUUCCAACCCGGAACACAAACCGGGAGUAUUGGCGCCAAACCCGGAACACACACCGGGAGUGUCAUUUCCAAUCUCGGAGAUAACCCCGAGAUAUGCAGAUCAAAAGAUUGUCAACAACACCAGAGAGGACAGUCUUGUCUCGGCGAUAACACCGCGACGUUCAGUUCCAGUCCCAGAUACAACACUGGGAAUAACAAUCCCAUCCUUGGUGAUAACCCCAAGAAAUGCCGUCGCAGUUUUGGCGAUAACUCCGGAAAUGCUUGUAUCAACCACAUGCAAUCAACUUUAAUCACAGAUGACAGUGAGGCACACAAACAAGCAGUCCAAUCUCAGCUGUAACCCUGAGCAACGUCUGCUUUCCGCUUAAAUCGGCGAUAACCCCGGUGAGGAGUCACCAACGUCAUCUCACAAUGUCAACAAGAUGAUAUCGCAGCAUACCAACAAGUAGUCCAAUCUCAGCUGUAACCCUGAGCAACGUCUACUUUCAACUCAACCCGGCGAUAACUCCGGCAAAGAGUCAAACAUCAUCUUGUUCGUCCAACAAAUGGCACGUCGUCUCAACAUUUUAGACAUACAUACAUCCAACAAUGUCCCAAAUAACCGAGGAAUGACAAUCCCGAGUGACUAUUACGUGUGACAGUACUUUGGAUAGAAUUUGAAGCUUGAUGACCAUGGGCAUAGACCCCUCUUCCUGACUUUGUACAACCUCUAAUCCAUGUCAUUACGUAACUCUCGACACCAGCGAUCUGAAGAAGUACAAACACGCUUCGUUUGGAUGCUAGGAUUGAAGUUCUGCAAGUUCGAUUGGAUAUUCUAGUACGCGAGUGCAUGUACUACGAGACGACGGGAUCCGCGAAGCCCGGUCCCACCACGACCAGCCGCAGGUAGACUUGCGGCUGCCGUAGGUAGACCUGCGGCCAUCCGUCUAUAAAUAUAGNNNNNNNNNNNNNNNNNNNNNNNNNNNNNNNNNNNNNNNNNNNNNNNNNNNNNNNNNNNNNNNNNNNNNNNNNNNNNNNNNNNNNNNNNNNNNNNNNNNNUUUCUGUUUGUAUAUAUAUACUAAUAUAUGUAUAUAUUUCUUAUAUAUGGACUAACAUUAUCGAGUUAUGCCUCGAUUGAGUCUAGACUUCGGUCUGGAGCGUUUAUUUGCUUUCGUAUAUAUAUAUAUAUACUUAUAUAUAUGAACUGUGGUCAGACUCUUUCUGAUGAGCCUGGAUUUACAUCCUGAGCAUUUAAUUGCUUAUAUAUAUAUAUAUAUAUACAUAUAUAUAUAACUGUUGUCGGACAUAUCCGAUGAGCCUGGAUUUUACAUCCAGAGCGUUUAAUUGCUUUUAUAUAUAUAUAUAUAUAUAUAUACAUAUAUAUAACUGUUGUCGGACAUAUCUGAUGAGCCUGGAUUUUACAUCCGGAGCGUUUAAUUGCUUAUAUAUAUAUAUAUAUAUAUAACUGUUGUCGGACAUAUCCGAUGAGCCUGGAUUCACAUCCGGUGCGUUUACUGCUUAUAUAUAUAUAUAUAUAUAUAUCUGUACAUAUUUAUAUAUUUACAUUCCAUCCCUCCUGGAGUUCACUUCGUGGCGGUGAUUGUUUUUACGGCUUUCUUUACAUUCUUGUCCCGCCUGGAGUUCACUUCGUGGCGGUGAUAGCAUUUACUGCUUUAUUUACUUUCCUGAUCCCCCGUGGAGAAUAAUUCGUGGUGGCUGAUCAUGUCAAUAUAUAUAUAUUUAUCGCUUUUAUAUAUAUAUAUAUUUGCCUGCUGAUCGAUUCCCCAUGGAGAAUAAUUCGUGGUGGCUAUCAUAUCAGUAUAUAUAUAUAUAUUUUACAGCUUAUAUAUAUAUAUAACUGCUUACUUCUUUCCAUAUCAAUUGCAGUAUCAUGUGAGCCUAGGAAUCAUGUGAUCUUACAGAUUCAGAAUGAUGAAUCUAGAUUCGGUUCCCAUGAUGGACGCUUUCAGCUGUAAGCAGCUUGUACAUUAUUUUACAGUGUCCGAGUUUCCUUGGAUGGUUGUCAUGCCCGUGAGGAAGUCGGCACUGCUGUAUAUUAUUUUCUCGCAGAUGCUUCGCAUCUUGAAAAUAAAAGCAAACAAGCCGAACUUGUAGUAAUAAAAUAGAAGUAUCAAAGGCCUCAAUUACUAUUGAGCACGGGGUUUGAAAAACCUUUUUUUUCUAUAAAACGUCAUUGCUAUAUCCUGUUUAAAACUGGUUUUUUCUAUAAAUUCAAACCCUAUGUAUAUAGAUGCGAACGAGGCAUAACACUACUUUCAAAUAAAUUGCACAUUGAUCCACACACACACACACAUUCAUAUAACAGUUUCUUUGAAGAGUGGUGGUCACCGUGGCAACACGGAUGUCGGGGGGUACCUAACACCUUCCCUCCGCAUAAUCAAGCCCCCGAACCCUCAAUGAAUCUCGGUUUCACCGACCCGUUUAGCAGUGCCAAAUCACUAGGUCAAUGUGCAAACCUUUUCGGUUGCGUUGGUGCAACCAGUUAAAAACACCAACUGGCGACUCUUAAAGUCAAAUCGUCGACAUUAUACAUGUCGGACCUUUUUCACUUAUUUUUUCAAACAAAUCUCACAUUAACAUGAGAACACCAAAGAACAAGUAACGAAAAGGGACAUUAAAAAUCCCGACGUCGACAGGUGGCGACUCUGCUGGGGAUUCCAGUAAGAGGGCUUAAGUCGCUAUUACAAGCUUUUCAUAAUUGUUAUAUACUUGUGUGUGAUUGUUGCAUUUACAUUUCUGAUAAAUGUGUACGAAUGCAUCUUACUUACUCCACUGCUAAAUAUUUGUCUGUGAUAUGAGUGCUUCGCACAUAUUAGUGCUUCGCACAUGUCAUUAUUUUGCAUAAACGGUGAGACACGUUGUAUGUGAAUAUAUGUCGUGUGGUCCCUCCGUUAGGAGGCUAUCCUAUCGAUGUUUGAUUACUGGACCCGUGGGAAGAAUAAUCCCUCGGGGCUCAGGAAAGGCACCACCCAGAUUCGCUCCAGUUGAAAGACCAGAUUAACUUCCCGUUGAGUAGAUUGCGAUGAUCUGGGAACCUUCAUUGCCAAAAAGCCGCGAGAGAAACCCUAGGAUAGGUCAACCUCUGAUAAACCAAACGCGGAGGAAAGUCUCUUCAUGCUUUCCAUUUUCAAAUUACUUGUAAAAGCAUUUACUUGUAAUUUUAUUCCAGGUUCAUCCAUAUGUAAUGGAAAAUAUGAAGAUACCUGUGCAUAACAUGUUAUCAAUUGACUAAACCGGUUUUGCAGGACAAAAUUCCUAGAACGGAUAUGUUAUGAUAACACUUACAUUUUUCAUAAAGACUAAACUAUGUAAGUCUUUUUGUAGGGAAGCAAUUGGGCCGGUUACCCGUUCCAAGUCUAAAAAGGCGUCCAACCUACAGACAAUCAUGUCUUCCUCUGAACAGUAUAAUCCUGUCUUUCGGGAAGAAUUUGACGGAUUGAGCAGACAAAUUACAGACUUGGGUGUCCUACUAAGAGAGUUACACCAAUCCACUCAGGGUUCAAAAAUUCCCACACAUACAGAAUCCUCUACACAAGGGGGAAUUCAAAAUCUGGAAAAAACAAUUCCAGAUCAUCAGCUGGAUACCAUCACUAAAGACCUUGAAAGCACCCAUCUCAAAGCAAAUCUAGACACCGGUGAUAUCAGGAAGAAGGUCCUUCAAAUGGAGGAAACCAUUCGCACUCUUAAAGGGAUUGGAACACAUGGCAGUGUUUCUUACACAGACCUUUGUAUAUUUCCUGGUGUGCAUUAUCCAGAGAAAUUCAAAACCCCUGAUUUUGAGAAAUAUGACGGAUUAGGGGAUCCUUACACAUAUUUAAAGGUGUUUAUUGGAGAGCUCGGAUCUUAUGCUGAGGAUGAAAAGCUCAGAAUGCAGCUGUUUCAGAAAAGUCUGACUGGAGAAGCCCUUUCAUGGUAUACCAGAUUAGACAACUCUAAGAUCCAUAGAUGGGAAGAGCUAGCCCAUGGCUUCCUCACCCAAUACAGUUUUCAGUCUCAGAUGGCUCCUGACCGGUACCAGAUUACGAAGGUCAGGAAACAGUCUAACGAGUCAUUUAGAGAGUAUGCUCAGAGGUGGAGGCGCCUUGCUGCUCAAGUUAUUCCUGCCAUGACAGAAUCAGAAAUGGUUAUGACCUUCAUAGAUAUACAGGAAACCCCUUUCUAUGAAAGAGUCCUAGCUGGCAUUGGCAAGCCAUUUUCUGAAAUGAUUAAACACGGCGAGAUGGCUGAAAUGGGAUUGAAGUCUGGUAAAAUUCAAGACCUAGCCGUUCUUAAGGCUGUUGCUGAACACAUUCAAUCCGGAUCUUAUGGAAACAACCCCCGGAGGGUCCAUAAGAAGAAAGAAGAGGAUGUUUCCUUGAUACUGCAAGGACAAAAAGGCAAGUCAAGCGCGCCUAUGCAGAGGAAAAACUACUCCUCUUUCACAACACAACCUUCAAGCCCUCCAUUUCCCAAAAGUGGAGAAGUAAAGCGAUUUCGAACGUUCACACCCUUACGGGAUUCGCUCGAAAAUAUUCUUGCUCUUCUGACUACUCAGAAGAAAAUUAUGCAUCUUCUUCCGCCAGCCAACCCUACUGGUAAGGGUUUCAAUGCUAAUCGAAAAUGUGCAUAUCAUGCUGGGGCACCCGGGCAUGAUACUCAAGAUUGUUGGGCCUUGAAGCACAAGAUUCAAGAUUUGAUCGACAAUGGUGAGAUCGUAGUCACCAAACCAGAUCAACCCCACGUACAAGACAACCCUUUCCCUCAACACAAAGAGGAAGAAGUCCACAUAAUCAGUUGGAGCACUGGACAUGAUUCUAAUUCUACUGGUGAAUCCUCCCAACCCAUCAAAGAUGGCGUUGACAAAUGGGAUUAUGCAAAGUUCCAAUUCACCAUGGAACGAAAGAUGAAGAAUCUUCACAAAAUAGUUGAGCAAUUGGCAGAACUGGUGACACACCAACAUCAAGCCACACGCCAACUAAUCAGGCAGGAACAUGCCUAUCUCCUUCUAUUUGUUAUGAAUGCUCCCUCAACACCUUCAGAAAGCGAAGCUAUGAAGGAUAAGGUUGCAAAGCGAGCAAGUGCUAAAGCCCGUCGGGAUUUUGCUGAUAGCAGAGAAUUCACUUAUCUGGGCCAAUCUAUGGAGGAGAUAAUUCAAAUGUUGAUCAACGAAGAAAGGAUCACAUUCCUUCUCCCUCCAAUCAAUCCCCGCUCAGGACGGUUCAAUCCUGAUGAAAUGUGUUAAUAUCAUUCACAUUCUCGCGGUUACAGCACAGAAGAAUGCUGGGCACUCUGCCAUCUUAUUCAAAAUCUUAUUGAUAGCGGUGUUCUGCAAGUGGCAGAUGAUUACACUGUGCAAUUUAAGGAUGGGAAUGCAUGUCCUACUCAAUGGAAGGGAUCAGUAGCUAUCAUAUCCGAAGAAGGUGACGAGACUGUUAAAGCAUUUCCUAUACAACCAAUUCAACUCAAAGGAGUUUACAACACUUUGGAAAUGGCCGCACCAGAGCCCAUUCUCUUGCCUUGCAGAAUACAACAUCCUGUUGUCAGCUUACACAGAGUGCCAUGGAACUAUGGAGAAGCUGAAGGAUCUACGUCUCAUACUGCUGCUGUAAUGACAAAAGAGAAUCCACUAUAUCUUCCUCAACGGGUCAUCAAGCCUAUUUACGAAGCAAAGGGGAAAUUGUCCAUGGAGAAGAUUGAAAAAUUCCUCCAUACUAUGGGCCACAAUGAAGCCAAAGUGGUUUUAAGCUUGCGUGAAGCUCCACACCAGAUAUCAAUCUUGGACUUGGUUUUCUCUUUCGAAGAUCAUCGGAAGGUUUUGCUAAAGGUUUUGGAAGAAGCCUAUUUACCAAAAUCAGUGGAUGUGGAAAAAUUUAAACAUUUGGUUGAUCACAUUUUCAACAACAAUGUGAUAUCCUUCACUGAUGACGACAUACCUCCCAAAGGGACUAGUCACUGUAAACCAUUACACAUUGCUGUGUUGUCUUCUGGGUAUAUGCUCGCAGGAGUAUUGAUAGAUAGAGGCUCAUCUCUAAAUAUCUGUCCUUAUGCCACCUUAGUGAAGAUGAACAUCAAUCCCAAUCGAAUCCAAAGUAGUCAUACGAUCAUCAGAGCUUUUGAUGGAUCUCGACGAAAUUCUGUGGGAAAGAUUGAGUUGUCAAUUGAGAUUGGUCCCCAUACAUUCAACGUAUCCUUCCACGUCCUCAAGAUAGAUUCAGGAUACAACCUGUUAUUGGGGAGACCAUGGAUACACAUGGCUGGAGCUGUUCCCUCCACCUUACAUCAACAACUCAAAUACAUCAUCAACAACAGUCUAAUCACUGUUAAUGCUGAGCCAGAAGGUCCUAAACCAGGAGCUCUGCCAAUUAUCAGUUUCAAUUCAGAAGUUGAGCCUGCUAGUUUUCACACUCUGGAAGUGAGUAAUACGCAAUACCAUCCUAUUGGAGCACCACUUCCCGUACCUAAGAUUUCUGACGAGGUGAUGUCCGCCACUCAAGAAAUGAUGUCAUUGGGUUACUAACCUGGACAAGGGCUUGGUAAGGAACAGCAGGGUAUCACACACCCUAUACAACUGUCCAGUCAAAUCGGUACAGCCGGGCUCAGCUAUUCUGCCAAUUCCAAUCAUAGGAAUCCUCAUAAGCAUAAGCAGAUUCCUCAACAUGCCGUCGUACGGCGAUCUUCGCUACCUUUACCACAUGAGUUAAUGCAAUCUCUUGUAAAGGUCCCAGCCCAGACAAUGACUAUGCUAUUUCCGAGACCGGUACCAAUCAAAGCUAAAGAGGUGCUGACUCAUGAUCCCGCGACGGAAGAAAAGGAGCGAAAACGUAAACAUGACCUUGCCUUGAUGAUGGCAGGCAUUCACAUCAUUGUUCACGAUGAACAUACAAACAGAUACGCUCCAGACGAUGAUUGCCUAGAUGUCAUGGUUAUCAUUCAGGAGGAGAAGGACACUGACAAUCCUUCUAUGUCCUUCAAGACUUUGCCCUUGACAAUUGGAGCAGUAUUCCAUGCAUUGGUCGAUGAGGGUAAAAUGGGCAAAAAAUCCCUCUGCCCUGUAGAUAACUUUUAAUUGCUUACUUUCCUUUACAACACUAGCAGUUAUUUUAUCACGUACAUGCUAACACUUUUGUAUGAUCGAACAGUUGCAUAUAUUAAGUGAAAGCGUAUUUUGUUUCAGGACUCUGAAUUUAGAUGUGCCUGUACUUGCUGAUAAGGUGCCUUCUCUCCACAAGGACUGCAACUUUGAUGCAAAGUUGGACUCAGACUUGAUGGACAUCAAAGAGGACAUUGAGACACCUCAAGAGAUUAAGGAAUGGGUCGCCGACAAACCUAAACCCAAUCUUAAUCAAACCACUCCUUUCAAUCUUGGAACCACUCCUUUCAAUCAACGGAAUGACAUGGUUGCGCUAUUAACCCAAUUCUAGGAUGUGUUUGCAUGGUCCCACGAAGACAUGGUGGGAUUGUCCACGGACAUUGUUCUUCAUCUCUUUCCCAUUAAAGAAGGAUUCAAGCCGGUUAGGCAGAAGCUCAGGCGAUUAAAACCUGAGUGGAGUUUAAAGGUUAAAGAAGAAAUUGUGAAACAAUUUCAAGCUGGCAUCAUCAUGGUGUCUAUAUAUCCGGAGUGGAUAUCCAACAUUGUUCCCGUACCUAAACCAGGGGGAAAAGUACGAGUCUACGUGGAUUACUGGGAUUUGAACAGAGCUUGCCUUAAAGAUAGCUUUCCCGUACCGUUUAUCCACAUUCUCAUUGACGAUACAGCUCAAUAUGGCAUGUACUCCGUUGCUGAUUGCUUCGCGGGGUAUCAUCAAAUUAUGGUCGCCAAGGAGGAUCGUGAGAAAACUGCUUGCAUCACGCCUUGGGGAACCUUUUGCUACAGACGGUUGUCAUUUGGCCUCAUCAAUGCUGGGGCGACUUACCAACGAGCUAUGAUGGCUCUUUUCCAUGAUCUAAUGCAUAAGGAGAUAGAGAUCUAUGUGGAUGACAUCAUUGUCAAAUCCCGGAAGGAGGAUGACCACUUAGACCAUCUCAGAAAGUUGUUCAAUAGGUUGUGUAAGUACAACUUGAAGUUGAAUCCCGCCAAGUGCGCCUUUGGUGUUAAGUCAGGCAAGUUGCUAUGGUUCCUAGUCAGCCACAAAGGAAUUGAGCUGGAUCCUGCUAAAAUCCAGGCCAUCAAGGAAAUGCCCAUUCCUCAGACAGAAAAAGAAAUACGGGGAUUUUUGGGAAGAAUCAACUUCAUAAGCCGAUUCAUUUCUCAACUCACAGCAACCUGUGAGCCAAUCUUCAAAUUGUUAAGGAAGAACUCCUCCAUGAAAUGGAAUGAUGAGUGCCAGAAUGCCUUCCUCACAAUUAAAGAACAGCUGAUUAACGCUCCUGUUUUGGUACCUCCCAGGGAUGGUAUUCCCCUGUUCAUGUACCUAUCCAUAAAUGACAAUGCUAUGGGCUGUAUGCUGGGGCAAAAAGACAAUAGAGGCCAAGAGCGAGCUAUCUAUUACCUUAGCAAAAGAUUCAGCAUCAGUGAACACAAGUACACUUUGAUCGAGAAAACUUGUUGUGCUUUGGCAUGGGCCUCCAUGAGAUUACAACAUUAUCUUUAUGGUCACACAACCCAUCUUAUAUCCCGCGUGGAUCCUCUUAAGUAUGUGUUUAGCAAACCCAUACUGAAUUGUCGGCUGUCCAGAUGGCAGUUGAUCCUCCAGCAAUUUGAUAUUGUAUAUGUGACACAAAAGUCUGUCAAAGGUCAAGGCAUUGCGGAUCAACUGGCCGCCGCACCUGCAGGGGAUUACAAACCUCUAAAAACAUACUUUCCCGACGAAGGGGUAAUGGCAAUUCAGCUAACGCAUCAGUACGAUACAUCCCAGCUGUGGAGAAUGUAUUUUGAUGGAGCUGUUAAUUCAGAAGGCUCCGGAGCUGGAGCAGUUUUAAUAUCUUGCACGGGGGAGCAGUAUCCCGUCGCCGUCAAUUACAGUUUGUCAAUACCAACAACACAGCUGAGUAUGAAGGCUGCAUUAUGGGACUCAAACUUGCCCGUUCAAUGGGUAUUAGGCAUUUAACUGUCUUUAGGUAUUCCGAACUGGUGAUCAAGCAAUCCACAGGAAUCUAUCAGACCAAAGUAUUGCAUUUAUUGCCCUACCAUCGGCAAGUUAUACAGAUGGCUUUGGAGUUCGAAGAAAUCUCCUUUCUACACAUUCCUCGCAACAGGAAUGAUUUUGCAGAUGCUUUAGCAACAUUGGCUUCCUUAGUUUACAUACUUGACAAGGAAAACAUGCCAAACAUCACGAUUGCUAUGCAUAAGACCCCAGUUUAUGGGAAUUACAUUGGAGAAGUAUCGAAUGAGCUACCUCCCGUCCAUAACCCUUGGUAUCAACAUAUCAAGGAGUAUUUAUGAGAUGGAUCUACACCCGCCGAGGCGAGCCUAACUGAGAAAAGGCGGAUUCAUCGACUUGCUAUGAAAUUCUACAUGAGCGGAGAUACACUCUACAAAAGAGAUGUAGGACUAGGUCUCCUCAGAUGUCUGGACAAAGACCAAGCUCAGAGACUCAUGGAUGAGAUCCAUGGUGGAGUAUGUGGCCCUCACAUGAAUGGAUCCCUCCUUAUUAAAAAGAUUCUCAGAACGGGACAUUAUUGGCUUAUACUCAAGGCUGACUGUGAUGAUCACGUCAAGAGGUGCUAUCAAUGUCAAAUCCAUGGGAAUGUUAUCCACGCCCCUCCAAGGGAACUCCACAAUAUGAGUUCGCCAUGGCCCUUCUCAAUGUGGGGAAUGGAUGUGAUCGGGCCCAUCGAGCCCAAAACCAGUAAUGGACAUCGGUUCAUAUUCACCAUGAUCGACUACUUCACCAAGUGGGUUGAAGCAGCUUCCUUCCCCAAGGUUAUUAAAGAAGUCAUCAUUGCGUUCAUCAGAAACAAUGUUGUUUGUCGAUAUGGGAAACCAGAGGUUAUUGUGUCAGACAAUGCUAAGAACCUCAACAACAAAAUGAUGGAGGACUUAUGUAGAAAAUUCCACAUUAAACAUCUUAACUCCGUCAUCUACCGACCAAAGAUGAAUGGUGCUGUUGAAGCUGCUAAUAAAAACGUCAAGAAGAUCAUGCAGAAAAUGUCUGCCAAUCACAAAGGAUGACCUGACCUCUUGCCCCUAACUUUAUUAGCCUACAGAACUUCAAUGCGUGUUUCCACUGGGGCAACCCCUUACUCACUAGUCUAUGGGAUGGAAGCAGUGCUCCCCAUAGAGGUGGAAAUGGAAUCCCUCAGAGUAUUGAUGGAUGCUCAGUUGGAUGAAGACCAAUGGGUACAAGACAGGUAUCACGAAUUGUCUCUGAUAGAUGAAAGGCGAACCGCAGCUAUCUUCCAUGGUCAGUUAUAUCAGCAAAGGAUCACACGAUCCUAUAACAAAAAAGUCCGACUACGGCAAUUCAAACAACAUGACUUGGUCUUGAAGAAGAUCAUUGGCAAUCAAGAUCAGUCUAAGGGAAAAUUCGCUCAUAACUGGGAAGGCCCAUUUUUUGUCAAGGAAGUAUUGACAGGAGGUGCUCUUAGAUUGCAAGAAGUGGAUGGUGAUGAAUUUCCACAUCUCAUUAAUUCAGACACCGUGAAACGGUACUAUGUCUGAAGUUGCCAUCAGACCGAACAUCCUGGUUUUGAUCAUCAAAUCACCAGUUAUUCCGGUUUUGAACCUUUCCUUUUACAUACUUUUCUGCCCCUCAGGGAACCAUACAAUUCGGACCAGCAGCCUGGUUCUUUUCAGAUUCUCCUGAAAAUGAGAAUAAACUUUUCACAUCUUUUCAAUUCCUCCCGAAAACGAGAAUAAACUUUUCACACACUUACAGUUUAUCCUUAAGAUGGGAUUAAACUUUUCUACAUCUGCAGUUUAUCCUAAAGACGGGAUCGAACUUCUCAAACUUUAUAGUUUAUCCUGAAGACGGGAUCAAACUUUCUCCACACUUGCGGUUUAUCCCCCUCAUGGGAUUAAACCUUCUUUUCCCCGCAGUCUAUCUUGCUUAUAGGAUUCAUAUCUAUUCCCCACAGCUUAACCCCUAUAUGGGAUCAAGAUCUUCCCCGCGGAUUCACCUGCACAUUUGGACCCCCACUUUUCAGUCAUUCGUCCUAAGGGGUGAACUACGUCGACCUGAUCUCCUUGAUACUCGGGGGUACAUAGGCAACCAUAUUCUAUAUGGCCCGGUCACAACAAUACAGAAAAAACAACAAAAACAUUUCUACCCUUUCUUCACAAAAAACAAAAAAAAAAUACUUCCAUACCCUUUUGCCUUCAACAUUCAGCGUUGAACCUCCUACACUAGGUUCGAACUACGCAGACUUGAUCUCCUCUUCAAUAGGAGUACAUAGGUAACCAUUUAUGGUGCAGUCUGACCCCUACCAGAACAAGCAUACUUGUCACACCGUACUGGGAUCAAACUUCAAAUUGCCCCACUUCAUCAGUUUCAGAUCAAAGGGAUGGAAUUAGCCAACCUCUUCUCACAAAUAGAAGAUACGGUGACCAUCUAAGCUGCGAUCGUGCCUCAAAGAGCAACACCAAACCAUAAGAGAUGGAAUUAACUAGGCUUCUCCUGAAUAGAAGUACUGGCGACCAUCUGUGGAGUGGUCAAUCUCAGAGAGGAAAAAACUAUCAUCCUCUCCAUUUUUCCAUACAGAUACCAGUCCCAAGACACCAAAGAUGGUAGGGAUUUUCAGAAAUCAAUGAUUCAUUCUGAGAGAUCUUGCGAUGUCUCAAUGUCCAUCUAUCAAGGAUAAGUUCAGAAUGCAUCAAGAUCAAAGGCCCUGGAGAAACAGGCAAAUAUCAAGCAAGUAUCAAGGCAUAACUAAAAGGGAAGUGAAUCAACAUAUAUUUCCUUGCCAUACAUAAUACUGUUUGAUAUAUACAUUUGUGCUGUACAUGACAAAAUGGCUAAGCUAGUCUGUGCAGGAACAUAGAAAGCUAUCUAUUGAUCUGUGUGAAUACGAACUAUCAGACCCAACAUAGCGUCCCUCUCUGAAGACGGAGGUAAUGCUGCAAGCUCCUGCCCAAGGGUAUCUACACUAGCUAGAAGAUUAGAAGCCAACUGCAUGGUGGCAUAAUGUCCAUUAAUGUAAGCGCUCAUAUCGGCAAAAGUGAUAGCCAUCUCGGAUCGCACUGAAGUACUAUCUGCAAUGGCCACAUCCCUAACAGAUAAGGCGGCAUCCCGCUCCACGAUCAUGGCAUCCCUGGCCGAUCUAGUGUCGUCCCUCUCUAACAGAGCGGCGUCUCUCCCAUCAAGAGCAGUCAACAUUGCAGCCCUAAUCUGAUCUCUCUCAUAGGUCAUCAGAUGUAAGCUCUGCUCCAGAUGAUGUACUGAAUGCUGAGUAAUAGUAGCACUCGGGGUGGGAGAAUCUAGCACAAAUGCUGGCAACCCAGCAGUCAACUCAACGGUGGGAAUGACAGUCUCCUCUAUAGGCUCCUCAUCGUCAUCAUCAGUCUCCUGCACUUUGGAUACUGCCACAGCCAAUACAGUCUCUGUCUCUAUACAUGCAGAAUACUCUGCAGAACUACCUGGAUGACUGACAGAAAACUCAUCCAACUCUCGCUGAUCCCAACAGGCAUACAACCUGGAUCUGUCCUCCGCUGACAACCGGUGUGAUGCAAAACGCUGACUCACUGCCCCCUCAUAUGGAUGGAAGUCCUAAAACUGGUCAAACUGACACAUCACGGCCAGUGGGUGGUAGGUAAUCAUGCCCCUCAAACCAGUUAGAGGGAGAUAAUCCAUGCCCGGAGCAUGAGUAAUGAAGCUGUAGGGUGAAACGAGCCCUGAACACGAAAAUAUGUCAAACGGAUCUCCAAUCUCUGCCAGGAAAGUGGACCAAGAUGCAGUAUCUGUACACUUCGUAGGCUGAAAGGAGUACAACAUGGCUAUCUCAUGGGUGAAACAAAAUCCAUGACGUCUAAAGGUGCCAAUCGGUCGCAAGUGUGACAUGAACCACACGUACAGCAUGACCGAACUGCCUGUAAAUACUCCUGUCGGAUAAGCAUAGCAGUAUGUAGCCGACCUCAAGGUCUCUGCAAUGAUCAUCGAUAUAAUGGUAUGACCCUCCCUGAGAGCUCUCACUGCUACGAUGAUGCCAAUGUCUAGCUCAUCUAUGUACUGCGGCAUGUAAACGUAUGACAAUACACAUAGAAGCAGUACAUCUACUCUGGCUGAACGCCAAUGAUCCUCCGGUGUGGUGAAAUCCCCGGAAUGUCGUGCAUAGCUAUCCUCAGAGCCAAACCUGUCGAUCAGGAAAAGCUGGGAUAUCACAUGGCCGGAUGUAAGCUCAUCCUGCACUACUCUGCGCCUCAAACCUGUGAGAGUCAUGAACUGUCUACUCAUGUCUCCCAUCGCCAUGUGCACGCAAGGUCUGUCCAGAGGCAGCAUCAUCAAUCGUGCAUACUCCUCCAAAGUAGGCGUCAACUCACGGGUCCCAAAGCGGAAUACCUGUCUAUCUGGUACCCAAUGCUCUAGCAUACCCUCUACAAAGCCUGGAGGAACCUGAAACAUCAGUAAGGUCAUAGUAUGCUGCAACAAGUCAUCUACAAUCACCAUGUCUGAUGGUGAUAUACUAUCAUACCAUGAUCGAAUACCAACUACCACCGUAGAUGGUGGGGUAUGAUCAAUACGGCUAACUGUCGAAGAAGACAUCUGUGCAGGCCGUGUCAUAAGACCAUCCAGUGGUCAAUGCUGAAUAUCUCUGGAUAUACAUACAUAUGCAUAACAAUAACAUACAUGAUACAAUAGAUGGCAAUAUGAUAUAGGGAAUGGAAAAACUGUGCAUACAUUCCUAAGUAUAUCAUCAUCUAAUACAUCUCUGUACAACUAAAAUACAGAGAAAUGGGGCAAAGCUACCCAACAACUAACAGUGGCCUAUCAAAAGAUAUAACGAGAAUGGGGAAAAGCUACCUAGCAUCUAACAGAGGCCUAUCAAAAGAGAUAACGAGAAAUACAUCAAAAAAAGUUAAUAGUGUCAAUGUCCACAUCAUCGAUGCUAUCCACCUGAUAUAACUCCUCCUGAGUCACUGGAUCUUUAUCUACAGGGAUGUCAGGCCUAUACAAGGGAGGAUCUGUGCCGGCAAAACCAAAUCAGUCACCUGAGGGGCCAGCUCCACUGCUGGAAGGAUCAAAAGUAUUUGCCUCUGAAGGAUCUCUGCCCAAAUGCCGAAUGAAAAGAUGUGAUCGGUCCAGCUGCUUAAUCAAUCUCUCGAUCUGUGUCGCAUGAGUCGGAUCUCUGACACAGGAUAGCCAAUCCGUCAUCAUCACGGAUCCUGGAACCAUAUCCCCCAUGAACUGCGUGGCACGGGUCUGAGCUCCAAUGGUACGAGGGAUCCACCAACGCUGGAAUAUCUCCUGAGAACAGGGGCCCUCUGAUAAUGUGAAUCCGUCAAUCCCCAUCAAUGGGAUGUCAAUGACGGGUGACUGCGAAACAGGCCAAUAAUUCCUGGCAGGAGGCAAGAUCGGUAUGCGUAUCUCUCCUGUGGUGUUCCUAAUAGCACGCUCUCCUAAAUAGAACUCCCAUCCUCCAUCGGUAAAGAGAGGAAUCCUAUGGGUGGAUAUGAAGUAAUCUACUCCAGUCGGGUACCUAUCCUCAAAACCAACUCCCAGAUGCUCUCCAGAGUAGGGAAUCCACGUGAUGACAUCAGCUGUCAAUAUCUCCAGCUGCAGGCGACAAUGAGUGAAACCCUCAGAAACAGGGACUCCGCCAGUAUGGAAUGAUGCCAUCUCCGUCCUCGUGGAUAGGUGUCUAAACCUAACACACUCACAGGACGUAAACAAGGGAGCCUCUCAUAAGCCCAAAACUGCCAACACAAAUGCAAAACAUCUACUAUCAGUCAACACUCUUAACCUGUACAUGGUAAAAGACACGAGAAACACUCACCAGCAAAAACGGGUAGAAUCCUAACCACGCCUUGGUCAAGCCCUGCGAUCACAUGCGUAUUCCCCUGAGGAAAUAGGCAAAGGUAUAGGAACCCCAAUCAUACUCUCCUACACGGUCCACGUGUCGAGUGGCGCUAAUCAAAGCGAAAGACACCGUGGAAGAGUUUUCUGCUAUGAAGCAACCCCUAAUGAUCAUCAGGAACAAUCACCGCAGAAUGCGAUCCCUAACUCUCACAUCAGCUGGUAUAGGCUCACUCAACAGGCCACUCAUAGCAUCUACGCUCAAAGGACCUGUCCUAAUAGUCCUGCCCUUGAGCGCCUCCGCCGAAACUCCCAACAAGGAUCUGAUGGCAGUUGGGGUGAUAUCCGUCGUGCAAGGCACUGGCUCCCCUCCAAACUCUAUACCUGUGAUAAAUCGCCAAUCCAUCGGCGUCAUCAUGACCUCACAGUCCAGCAAGUGAAGUGACUGAGUUUGGUGGAACCACCGCUCAGACAAUGCCCUGAGGUAACCCCAGGGACAGCGACGGGGUAGAAUGGAGAAAAACCUCUCAAAUCCCCAGCCAUGGACGAUCGCUCUAUAGUCAUCAUGCAAGGCCUGAUAUAUAGAGUGAAUGCUAAACCAGUUUCCCUAAGGUGGUGUAAAUCCGAGAACUUACAUCAAAUGCAGAUCAACAUCAGACUCCUUGACUCCUCACCAAUAGGAAAUAAGGAAGAUUAAAGAUCUAACUUCAUACCUCGUUUGUGUGCAGGUACACAGAAGGAUGCCUACUCAAGUCACCCAGAAGAUCUGGGUUCGCCACUUGAAUACUUGGCAAUUCCCUGCGAGGAACACGUGCAACAGGAGCGGGACCCUCGAACGGAACAUCAUCCUCCUCGUCCUCAACAUUCGGCAUUUUAACCCGAAUAGGACGCACGACCCCCUCAGCCAAACGACGAGGCUCUCUCAUAGAACGACGCUGAGGCUCUUCAACAGCUCUCCUCCGUACACCAGAAGUAGUCCUGCGGGAACUGCUAGGCUGAUCUGGAUCCAUAAUAUCUGGACAGCAAAUCUCUAAAUCACCUCAGAAAGGGUGUGGUAAUUCUAUACCUGGAGUCUUUUUCAAAAUGCAUUUUAUGAUUACAUGCAUACAUGCAUCGUUUUAAGAUACAUAUGAUGUAGAGUUAAGAAUGCAUAACUGCUCAAUGCCUACAUUUUGAAAUUUUUUGCCAUAGUUUCCUUUGUAAAUGGGACUAUCCACAUGCACAUAGGCAUGACUAGGUGGCCAUUCAGUAGCACACCUGUACACAGUUAUAUACAUCUUGUAUGCAUUCAUCACAUCACAGUGAAAAUCUGUAAGUGUAUUCUAAUUACCAGGAUUAUUUACUACUCUACCUUUACUCAUUUGUCCUCAGAUAGGAUAAGAAAUGACAGUAAAAGGUAUCAAUUUGACUAUUUCAAAAGUCAAAUUUUUUUACAUCAUUAUGUUCAACAUGGUUUAAUACUAACAUUUGCUAUGUUGAAUAUUUUUAUCAAGUCAUAUCAGUAUGCAUAUUCACUACUAUGUGUCUAAAUGCAUUUCAUGCGAUAAGUCAUUUUCCAACGGACAUAAAUUGGAAAAAAAUACAUGCAUGUGUUACCAGGACAGUGAAGAACGCUUGUAUUGUGAUGGAAUAUACAGAAAGUUUCCCGAACUCAGCAGGUCUGCAGAAAAGCUCUCAGAUUUCCUUCGCGGCGCAGCUUGAAAAUGACUUAUGAAAGCAACCAGCUGGCUAUACAUAGCCAUGGCUGGCCGUAGGUCAACCUGCGGCACCUGCAGGUCCACCUGCUGCCCUCCUACAUGGUUCCCACACCUCCGACUCGGUCCAGUUAGAGUUGCAAAGGAGGUUUCACAAGCUGAAAAGGCCAAAUCAGGAGUAAAAACGCUACGCGAUUGAGCGAAAUAGCCUGAAAUUCUGGUUCUCUGUCGGUCAGAGUUAAACUCCCGUCGCCUCAGUGGUAUUCGCCCGGAUAAAAGGUAUACUCUACCACAAAGCUCAGCUUUCACCAACCAUGCUCGACAAUACCUCACAACGGUCCGAUGCCGUCAUUUGCAUGGUUACAUCUAAACAUCCCCGACAGGGGUUACAACGCAAAACCACGAAUCAUCUGAAUAUCCCCGGCGGGGGUUACAACGUCAAAGUUAUCAAGCAUCUACGCAUCCCCAGCGGGGGACACCACGCAAUACAUGUGACGCCCCCAAAAUAGGUAUACGUCACCCAUCUUGAGUCGCCAGAUAUCACACUAUAAAAAUCAAAUACAAACUUCAUUUAUACAACUGUUGAACUGUCGUACAGAGUACGACAACAGAUAAGCUGUGAGUUUCAAUACAAAAUCUAUGUAACUCUUAUGGUGCCUCGACCACAAUACCUUACAAAGGUACUUUACAUAAAAGUAUAGUCAAAAACUGUUUUAGGAAUUAAAAUCUUUGGGAAGUGCUCAAUGAAACCUUCGUACAUGGGAGGCCAUGCGUCUAGGUUAUGGUAGAUAUCAUAUGUCCACAAAAUUAUCCUUGGUUGACCCAAUAGACCCCAAAGAAAAACGAGAAGAUUACUAUCAUCUUCUUUCCAAUGGUGAGUCUUCUCUUGGCAUAUAACUAUCUCCACUGUCUCCAAGUAAAAAUUAUAUUUCAAAUAAACUCCAAGAUCAUAUAGGUAGUGCUCGUAGAUAUACUCAGCAAGUGGAUGUGCACAACCCUGUCUUAUGAUAACACGAGGUUGUAUGUCAUUAGACAUCUUGUAUGAUAGUGGCAAAACACCCUUCCAAAGUUGGGUUCGCCUCACCCUAUUUGAUUCACCAAAUAUAACUAUUAAAUGUCGUAUAAAAUACAACACACUUAUCUUAAAGUUCUCAAUGAAAUUAUUUCCAUACUAUUUAGGGAGAACCUCAACAGCUAUAGACCACCGUUCUAAUCCCCAGUUACCUCCGCUCGACCCAGCUACACUCUUAUUACCUGAAAGGAAUUGUGAAGCAAAAGGGUGAGCACAACUAGCCUAAUAAAGAAUAUCAUGGCUAAAGAUAAUUUAAUUAUCAAUAGCUUUCGUCAAUAAUAAAUCAGAGAUUUAGAACAUAUGGUAGAUGAUAAAACUUUUCAACCGUAGUUGCAGCGGAACGAGCAAUCCACUAAAAGAGUCAAAUAGACCAUCAGGUCUAUUAUCUUCUCCAUGUUAAAAGUCCACCAAUUAUGUUUUAUCCCUGUAACAUCAAUCAACAAUUCAUGUCCACAAUCAUAUGAAUAACUCAUAAUCAUAAUUGUGAUUCUGAAUUUCCUUUUCGCAUCCAGGACGAAGAUAAUUUUCAUCACCUAUCUCCACCUGAAACAUCAAAAAUCAUGGUUAUACCAAAUCACAAUUCCUGCUCAUAAUUAAACUAAAAAAAUUCAUCUUUGCACUACGGCCAAAGAUAUACAACUGUAUAACCAAUAACAAACAGUUCAUCUUUGCACUACAGGCCAAAGAUAUACAAUUGUAAAACCAAUAAUGCUGAGACUCAGCUUAUUAAAUAAACCACAUCAUCGAAUCAUCCCUGUACUAUGGCCAAGGAUAUUCAUUAAAUCACAUCCAUGAAUUAUCCAUGCACUACGGCCAAUGAUAUUCAUUAUUAUCACAUCCGUGAAUUAAUAUUUCAUUGCUGAGACUCAGCUCAAUAAUUAAUCCAUAUCAUCGAAUCAUCCCUGCACUACGGCCAAGGAUAUUCAUUAAAUCACAUUCAUGAAUUAAUAUUUCAUUGUUGAGACUCAGCUCAAUAAUUAAUCCAUAUCAUAGAAUCAUCCCUGCACUACAGGCCAAGGAUAUUCGUUAAUAUCCCGACCACGAAUUAUCUAUGCACUACGGGCCAAAGAUAAUCGUGUUUUCAUCAACGGUCCUGAUCAUGCCAUAAAAGAAUUCAUCUUUGCUCCCUUGGCCGAAGAGAAUCCAUAGCCAUAAUCAUACCAAAAACUGUCCAUCAAUGCACUACGGGUCAAUGAGGACUUUUUCCAUAUCAUUUGUAAUAUUACGGUCAUGAUUAUACCAAAUAAUCUCUGGUCAUAAUCAUACCAAGUCCAUCUAUGCACUACAGGCCACAGAUGACUUUCAACAUAAUAUAAACAUGAGAAUGAUGACAAUGAUAUAAGCAUUUAUCAAACGAAAACAAGGAUAAAUAUUAAAGACUUUAAAUUUAUCCAAAUAUUAUCAAUCACUUAAUAAACUCAUAAUCUAAUAUUAUAACAAUAUUUUAAUCACUUCUUAAACUUAUAAACAAUUUAUUUUAAUUAUUUACAUUUUACCAAAUAAUUCAUUUAAUCGUUCAAAAAUGCUAUACUCAUAAGAUUUCAUCACCAAUGAUUAAAUCCCUCAUCAAAAAUAUGCAUAUACCUUAUAUAGGAUUUUCAAGCCAUAAAAUCCUAUAUUCCAACUUUGUUACUUCACAUAACAUAUUUAACUCAUAUGCUCGUAACUAAACUAUUUUUAUGAAAAAUACCAAAUCAGUCCCAAAAAUAUUUAUUUUCUGGGAUUUAGUAUAAUAUAGUCCCAUAAUGAAAAUAUAUUUUUCUCGGAAUUUUUAAAAUUUAAUUACUAUUUUUCAAAAAUCAAUUUUAAAUUAAUUCCUUAAGAAAUUAGCUACCUCAAGGUUAACUCUAAAAAUUCCCAAAUCUUGGCAGAAUCUUACACAUGUUAACGUGAGCUUCCAGUUUAAAUUUCAUGGUCAUCGGAGUUAUAGAACUCCGGUUAUAGCAUUUUUCGUCGAAAAAACCUAAAUAUUGAAAUGGUCAUAACUUGCUCAUUUUAAGUCGGAAUGAGCUCAUGGACAGGAUGUUCUUAUACCAUAUACUUUCAUGUCCCAAAAGGCCAUAAUUUUUCUCAUAAAUUAAGUGGUCGAAAAUGCCUUUUUUAAAAUCUGGACAGAAACUUUUUGGUAUUUUGCAGCUUUUGACUUCUUUGCUAAAAUCAGUCCACACAAAAAUCUACAACACCUUUUAUAGUGAUUCCACUUGGAGAUGCUACAAGACUCAUAGAUCUAACUCUGGAACCUAACCACACUCAAAAAUUCAAAAUAUAAUAGGAGAUAUGAUCAAUUGAAUUUCAUGUUUCAUUUUCACAAAAAUAUGAUUUUCAACCCUUUGUGAUUUCUAAGAAACUUUCAUGUUUUCACAUAAUAACCAAUAUAACCCCUCAUAACACUUACUAAUACUUCAUAUACACAUGAUUUUCAUUAUUCUAAUGCUUUUAUUAUGACUCUCAUCAUAAUUAACGUAAAUAGAUCAUUUUUAUAAAGGAUCAUUCACCAUGAAUGCGAUAGAGACCGCACAGACAGGUUAUUCCAACAAAAUAAUAAAUAACGGAACCAGGUCAGGUAAAAUUCACACUGACAGGAUGUUCCAACGGAAUAAAUGAAUAAUAAAGACGGAACCAGGUUCGGCGUAAAGCACAGACAGGAUAUUCCAACAGAAUAAUAAAAACGGAACCAGGUCAUGUGAAAUUCACACCGACAGGAUAUUCCAACAGAAUGAUAAAUGCGGAAUAAUAAAUAAUGGAACCAGGUCCGACGUAAAAUGCACAGACAAGAUAUUUCGACAGAAUAGUAAAGAAUUGAAUAAUAGGAGAAUUUCACCAUGUAUGCAGUACUUUGCAUAUACAGGUUAUUCCAACAUAAUAAUAUAGAAUGGAAUAAUAGAAGAAUUUCACCAUGUAUAUGGUACUUCGCAUAAACAGGUUAUUCCAACAUAAUAAUAAGAAUGGAAUAACAUAAGGAUUUCACCAUGUAUAGGGUAUGCCGCGUAUACAGGUUAUUCUAACAGAAUAAUAAAGAAUGGAAUAACAUAAGGAUUUCACCAUGUAUAGGGUAUGCCGCGUAUACAGGUUAUUCUAACAGAAUAAUAAAGAAUGGAAUAACAUAAGGAUUUCACCAAGUAAAGGGUAUGCCGCUUAUACAUGUUAUGUAUAGGGUAUACCACGUAUACAGGUUAUUCCAACAGAAUAAUAAAGAAUGGAAUAACAGAAGUUCUCUUCAUGAAUAAGAAAGAAUAACACCCCUUACACAAUAAUGAUAUCCCUUACCUUAGAAAGUAACUGAAUACUGGAGUAGAGAGGUAGCAGACUUCUCUUCUUCUAUAGAUUUUCUCUCUACAAUUUCUCUCUAUAAUAAUUUCUCUAUAGCUUUAGUGAAUUGGUGAGAAAUGAAGAAGAAUGAACUUCUAUUUAUAGAAAAACAUAGUUUCAAUAAUUGCACAUUUUGGGGCUCAAAAAAUUACAGUACAAUACCUCCCUUUUUUUCUUUAAUUUUAAUUUAGUCAUCCAAGUAUUAUCAAACUUUCACCACCUCCCCUAAUAGUAAAUCAUGUAAAUUAAUAGUUUAUUCAUGUGACUCAAUAGUAAAAUCAUGUGAAAAAACUAAUUACAUUAUAGUACUUUCAUCUAUACCUCAAUUUUUAACUUAGUCAUGCAAGUAUUAUCAAUCUUGCACCAACUCCCCUAAUAGUAACAAGAAUGUGAAUCAAUAGUACACACAUGUGAACAAAUAAUUAUAAACAUGUGAAUUAGUAGCAAUUAAUUGCUCAUUUAUCCGAUAAAUUACCCGAUUUAUCAAUAUAACCCCCAGACAUCAAUUAUCAUCGAAAUAAAUGUCGAUUUUCACUAACACUAACAAUUCUAACAUAAUGAAACUAUUUUUAUCAAAAAUAUAAAAUUUGAAAUUUCGAAGUUUGACUUUUCCCGAAAAGGUCAACUGUUGACUUUUUGACCAAAUAGUGAAUCUCGGAAAAUUUUGUGUUUAUAGACUAUUUUUACUAAUUUCGUUGUUCCGGACUCAAAUAUCACGUCCGCGUCUUCAAAUUCAACUCCGAACUCAAAUUGAAUUUUUUUAUAACAACUUGCAUACUUUGCAAAAUUUUUAAAUAUCACCCUUAAAUUUAACCUUUAUCAAUUUAACCAUUUACUAAAUAGAAUAAUUAUAAGAAAAUUGAAUAAUUUUAUUUUAUAAAAUUCGGGGUCUCACAAUCUCCCCUCCUUAUGAAAUUUUACCCUCGAAAUUUACGUACGUACCUGGUAUGCUGAAGGGAUGAGGAUACCUUGCUUUCUUUUCGAAUUGUACCUUCCCGGUUAUUUUCUCUCUAUCAUGAUUUUCCCAUUGCUCAUCUCCUGUAUUUCAGAUAUCAUUCUAGAAUAUACCUUCAAAACAAAGGUUAAUUGACAUAUCAUAAUUUGUUAACUCAUCAAGUAAACAAUUUCAGCUUAGGUAAUUCACACCCUAGCGAAGUAUAUUACUCGUCUCUCCCCUCCUAGUUCUUAGACUAAUAUCUCCGCCAACGACCAUAUCCCUAAGCUCUGAUACCAAAUGUGACGCCCCCAAAAUAGGUAUACGUCACCUAUCUUGAGUCGCCAGAUAUCACUCUAUAAAAAUCAAAUACAAACUUCAUUUAUACAACUAUUGAACUGUCGUGCAGAGUACGACAACAGAUAAGCUGUGAGUUUCAAUACAAAAUCUAUGUAACUCUCAUGGUGCCUCGACCACAAUACCUUACAAAGGUACUUUACAUAAAAGUAUAGUCAAAAACUGUUUUAGGAAUUAAAAUCUUUGGGAAGUACUCAAUGAAACCUUCGUACAUUGGAGACCAUGCGUCUAGGUUAUGGUAGAUAUCAUAUGUCCACAAAAUUAUCCUCGGUUGACCCAAUAGACCCCAAAGAAAAAUGAGAAGAUUACUAUCAUCUUCUUUCCAAUGGUGAGUCUUCUCUUGGCAUAUAACUAUCUUCACUGUCUCCAAGUAAAAAUUAUAUUUCAAAUAAACUCCAAGAUCAUAUAGAUAGUGCUCGUAGAUAUAUUCAGCAAGUGGAUGUGUACAACCCUGUCUUAUGAUAACCCGAGGUUGUAUGUCAUUAGACAUCUUGUAUGAUAGUGGCAAAACACCCUUCCAAAGUUGGGUUCGCCUCACCCUAUUUGAUUCACCAAAUAUAACUAUUAAAUGUCGUAUAAAAUACAACACAUUUAUCUUAAAGUUCUCAAUGAAAUUAUUUUCAUACUAUUUAGGGAGAACCUCAACAGUUAUAGACCACCGUUCUAAUCCCCAGUUACCUCCACUCGACCCAGCUACACUCUUAUUACCUGAAAGGAAUUGUGAAGCAAAAGGGUGAGCACAACUAGCCCAGUAAAGAAUAUCAUGGCUAAAGAUAAUUUAAUUAUCAAUAGCUUUCGUCAAUAAUAGAUCAGAGAUUUAGAACAUAUGGUAGAUGAUAAAACUUUUCAACCAUAGUUGUAGCGGAACGAGCAAUCCAUUAAAAGAGGUAAAUAGACCAUCAGGUCUAUUAUCGUCUCCAUGUUAAAAGUCCACCAAUAAUGUUUUAUCCCUGUAACAUCAAUCAACAAUUCAUGUCCACAAUCAUAUGAAUAACUCAUAAUCAUAAUUGUGAUUCUGAAUUUCCUUUUCGCACCCAGGACGAAUAUAAUUUUCAUCACCUAUCUUCACCUGAAACAUCAAAAAUCAUGGUUAUACCAAAUCACAAUUCCUGCUCAUAAUUAAACUAACAAAUUCAUCUUUGCACUACAGGCCAAAGAUAUACAAUUGUAAAACCAAUAAUGCUGAGACUCAGCUUAUUAAAUAAACCACAUCAUAGAAUCAUCCCUGCACUACGGCCAAGGAUAUUCAUUAAAUCACAUUCAUGAAUUAAUAUUUCAUUGCUGAGACUCAGCUCAAUAAUUAAUCCAUAUCAUCGAAUCAUCCCUGCACUAAAGCCCAAGGAUAUUCGUUAAUAUCACGACCACGGAUUAUCUAUGCACUACGGGGCAAAGAUAAUCAUGUUUUCAUCAACGGUCCUGAUCAUGCCAUAAAAGAAUUCAUCUUUGCUCCCUUGGCCGAAGAGAAUCCAUAGCCAUAAUCAUACCAAAAACUGUCCAUCAAUGCACUACGGACCAAUGAGGACUUUUUCCACAUCAUUUAUAAUAUUACGGUCAUGAUUAUACCGAAUAAUCUCUGGUCAUAAUCAUACCAAGUUCAUCUAUGCACUACAGGCCACAUAUGACUUUCAACAUAAUACAAACAUGAGAAUGAUGACAAUGAUAUAAGCAUUAAUCAAACGAAAAUAAGGUUAAAUAUUAAAGACUUUAAAUUUAUCCAAAUAUUAUCAAUCACUUAAUAAACUCAUAAUCUAAUAUUAUAACAAUAUUUUAAUCACUUCUUAAACUUAUAAAUAAUUUAUUUUAAUUGUUUACAUUUUAUCAAAUAAUACAUUUAAUCGUUCAAAAAUGCUAUACUCAUAAGAUUUCAUCACCAAUGAUUAAAUCCCUCAUUAAAAAUAUGGAUAUACCUUAUAUAGGAUUUUUAAGCCAUAAAAUCCUAUAUUCCAACUUUGUUACUUCAAAUAACAUAUUUAACUCAUAUGCUCGUAACUAAACUAUUUUUAUUAAAAAUACCAAAUCAGUCCCAAAAAUAUUUAUUUUCUGGGAUUUAGCAUAAUAUAGUCCCAUAAUGAAUAUAUAUUUUUCUCGGAAUUUUUAAAAUUUAUUUACUAUUUUUCAAAAAUUAAUUUCAAAUUAAUUCCUUAAGAAAUUAGCUACCUCAAGGUUAACUCCAAAAAUUCCCAAAUCUUGGCAGAAUCUUACACAUGUUAACGUGAGCUUCCAGUUUAAAUUUCAUGGUCAUCGGAGUUAUAGAACUCCAGUUAUAGCAUUUUUCGUCGGAAAAACCUAAAUAUUGAAAUGGUCAUAACUUGCUCAUUUUAAGUUGGAAUGAGCUCAUUUUUGGACAGGAUGUUCUUUAUACCAUAUACUUUCAUGUCCCAAAAGGCUAGAAAUUUUCUCAUAAAUUAAGUGGCCGAAAAUGCCCUUUUAAAAUAUGGACAGAAACUUUUUGGUAUUUUGCAGCUUUUGACUCCUUUGCUAAAAUCAGUCCACACGAAAAUCUACAACACCUUUUAUAGUGAUUCCACUUGGAGAUGCUACAAGACUCAUAGAUCUAACUCUGGAACCUGACCACACUCAAAAAUUCAAAAUAUAAUAGGAGAUAUGAUCAAUUGAAUUUCAUGUUUCAUUUUCACAAAAAUAUGAUUUUCAACCCUUUGUGAUUUCUAAGAAACUUUCAUGUUUUCACAUAAUAACCAACAUAACUCCUCAUAACACUUACUAAUACUUCAUAUACACAUGAUUUUUAUUAUUUUAAUGCUUUUAUUAUGACUCUCAUCAUAAUCAACGUAAAUAGAUCAUUUUUAUAAAGGAGAUCAUUCACCAUGAAUGCGAUAUAGACCGCACAGACAGGUUAUUCAAACAAAAUAAUAAAUAAUGGAACCAGGUCAGGUGAAAUUCACACCGACAGGAUGUUCCAACGGAAUAAAUGAAUAAUAAAGACGGAACCAGGUCCGGCGUAAAGCACAUACAUGAUAUUUCAACAGAAUAAUAAAAAUGGAACCAGGUCAGGUGAAAUUCACACCGACAGGAUAUUCCAACAGAAUGAUAAAUGCGGAAUAAUAAAUAAUAGAACCAGGUCCGGCGUAAAAUGCACAGACAGGAUAUUCCGACAGAAUAGUAAAGAAUUGAAUAAUAGGAGAAUUUCACCAUGUAUGCAGUACUUUGCAUAUACAGGUUAUUCCAACAUAAUAAUAUAGAAUGGAAUAAUAGAAGAAUUUCACCAUGUAUGCGGUACUUCGCAUAAACAGGUUAUUCCAACAUAAUAAUAAAGAAUGGAAUAACAUAAGGAUAUCACCAUGUAUAAGUUAUUCCGCGUAUACAGGUUAUUCUAACAGAAUAAUAAAGAAUGGAAUAACAUAAGGAUCUCACCAAGUAAAGGGUAUGCCGCUUAUACAGGUUAUGUAUAGGGUAUGCCGCGUAUAUAGGGUAUUCCAACAGAAUAAUAAAGAACGGAAUAACAGAAGUUCUCUUCAUGAAUAAGAAAGAAUAACACCCCUUACACAAUAAUGAUAUCCCUUACCUUAGAAAGAAACUGAAUACUGGAGUAGAGAGGUAGCAGACUUCUCUUCUUCUAUAGAUUUUCUCUCUACAAUUUCUCUCUAUAAUAAUUUCUCUAUAGCUUUAGUGAAUUGGUGAGAAAUGAAGAAGAAUGAACUUCUAUUUAUAGAAAAACAUAGUUUCAAUAAUUGCACAUUUUGGGGCUCAAAAAAUUACAGUACAAUACCUCCCUUUUUUUCUUUAAUUUUAAUUUAGUCAUCCAAGUAUUAUCAAACUUGCACCACCUCCCCUAAUAGUAAAUCAUGUGAAUUAAUAGUUUAUUCAUGUGAAUCAAUAGUAAAAUCAUGUGAAAAAACUAAUUACAUUAUAGUACCUUCAUCUAUACCUCAAUUUUUAACUUAGUCAUGCAAGUAUUAUCAAUCUUGCACCAACUCCCCUAAUAGUAACAAGAAUGUUAAUCAAUAGUACACACAUAUGAACAAAUAGUUAUAAACAUGUGAAUUAGUAGCAAUUAAUUGCUCAUUUAUCCGAUAAAUUACCCGAUUUAUCAAUAUAAACCCCAGACAUCAAUUAUCAUCGAAAUAAAUGUCGAUUUUCACUAACACAAACAAUUCCAACAUAAUGAAACUAUUUUUUUUUUAUCAAAAAUAUAAAUUUUGAAAUUUUGAAGUUUGACUUUUCUCGAAAAAGUCAACUGUUGACUUUUUGACCAAAUAGUGAAUCCCGGAAAAUUUUGUGUUUAUAGACUAUCUUUACUAAUUUCGUCGUUCCGGACUCAAGUAUCACGUCCGUGUCUCCAAAUUCAACUCCGAACUCAAAUUUGAAUUUUUUUAUAACAACUUGCAUACUUUGCAAAAUUUUCAAAUAUCACCCUUAACUUUAACCUUUAUCAAUUUAACCAUUUACUAAAUAGAAUAAUUAUAAGAAAAUUGAAUAAUUUUAUUUCAUAAAAUUCGGGGUCUCACAAUACAACCAUUGAUACACACAUCAAUGAAGGUCAAGCAACCUUGACAUCGUGUCAACCAAUGGCAAGUAAACCCAUUGAAGAAACCUUACUCAACAAGGUCGACGACACAAUGCAACCGUUGAUACACACAUCAACAAAGAUUAGGCAGCCCUGAUAGCAACUAACUGUUGGCAGUAACUCCGACAGUAUGAGGGAACAUGUUAUACACAUCCUCGAAACAUACACAAUUUUAUCCCCACAGAUCUCUUGCACAUGAGAGGUACUUCUAUGGAGUAUAAGCCGGUGUCCAGGAUUCAAGACUUUGGUGUUAGUCCAACGUCAGCAUCCCCGAAUACUUGGAUCGCAUGUCCAAGUCAUCACUGAUUGUCAUACCAAUAGGAAUUCCUGACAAUCAUGCAUACAUUUGCAUACAUUUGCAUCAUGUUGUUGUACAUUGCAUCAUGAUGAUCUUGCUUGAAUUUCAAGUGUCUAGGAUUCUUUAUCCUAUUCAUGCCUUGCAUUGCAUGAACAUGAUAAAGAGGGGCAUCUGUAGACACUCAAAAUUUUCUGCACUCCUAUUACUAACAUUUCAGGAGGGUAGAUUCGUCUUUUGGAGAUAGCCCUGAAAGACAGCCUACAACAGUUCCGGAUACUACUGGGAGUUCCGCUCUAACCCGGAACACAAAUUGGGAGUAUUGGCGCCAAACCCGGAACACACACCGAGAAUGUCAUUUCCAAUCUCGGAGAUAACCCCGAGAUAUGCAGAUCAAAAAACCGGCAACAACACCAGAGAGGACAGUCCUAUCUCGGCGAUAACACCGCAACGUUCAGUUCUAGUCCCAGAGACAACACUGGGAAUAGCAAUCCCAUCCUUGGUGAUAACCCCAAGAGAUGCCACCGCAGUUUUGGCGAUAACUCCGAAAAUGCUUGUAUCAACCACAUGCAAUCAACUUUAAUCACAGAUGACAGUGAGGCACAUAAACAAGCAGUCCAAUCUCAGCUGUAACCUUGAGCAACGUCUACUUUCCGCUUAAAUCGGCGAUAACCCUGGUGAGGAGUCACCAACGUCAUCUCACAACGUCAACAAGAUGAUAUCGCCUCAUACCAACAAGUAGUCCAAUCUCAGCUGUAACCCUGAGCAACGUCUACUUUCAACUCAACCCGGCGAUAACUCCGACAAAGAGUCAAACAUCAUCUUGUUCGUCCACCAAAUGGCACGUCGUCUCAACAUUUCAGACAUACAUACAUCCAACAAUGUCCCGAAUAACCGAGGAAUUACAAUCUCGAGUGACUAUUACGUGUGACAGUACUUUGGAUAGAAUUUGAAGCUUGAAGACCAUGGGCAUAGGCCCCUCUUCCUGACUUCGUACAACUUCUAAUCCAUGUCAUUACGUAACUCUCGACACCAGCGAUCCGAAGAAGUAUAGACACACUUCAUUUGGAUGCUAGGAUUAAAGUUCUGUAAGUUCGAUUGGACAUUACAGUACGCGAGUGCACGUACUACGAGACGAUGAGACCCGCGAAGCCCGGGCCCACCACGACCAGCCGCAGAUAGACCUGCGGCCAUCCGUCUAUAAAUAUAGAGGGGGGGGGGGGGGNNNNNNNNNNNNNNNNNNNNNNNNNNNNNNNNNNNNNNNNNNNNNNNNNNNNNNNNNNNNNNNNNNNNNNNNNNNNNNNNNNNNNNNNNNNNNNNNNNNNNNNNNNNNNNNNNNNNNNNNNNNNNNNNNNNNNUAUAUAUAUAUAUAUAUAUAUAUAUAUAUAUAUAUAUAUAUUUACAUUCCGUCCCUCCUGGAGUUCACUUCGUGGCGGUGAUUGUUUUUACGGCUUUCUUUACAUAUUUGUCCCGCCUGGAGUUCACUUCGUGGCGGUGAUAGCAUUUACUGCUUUAUUUACUUUCCUGAUCCCCCAUGGAGAAUAAUUCGUAGUGGCUGAUCAUGUCAAUAUAUAUAUAUUUACCGCUUUUAUAUAUAUAUUUGCCUGCUUAUCGAUUCCCCAUGGAGAAUAAUUCGUGGUGGCUAUCAUGUCAGUAUAUAUACAUAUAUAUAUAUAUAUAGCAAUGAAGUUUUGUAAAAGGAUUUUUCAAACCCUGUGCUUAAUAGUAAUUGUGGCCUUUGAUACUUCCAUUUUAGUUAAAUGUUCGGCUUAAUUGCUUUUAAUUUUCGAGAUGCGAAGCAUCUUCGAGAAAAUCAUUAACAAAGCAGUGCCGAACUCCUUAUGGGCAUGUAAGCCAUCCAAAGAUAUUCAAACACCGUAAAUAAUUUACAAGCUGCUUACAGCUGAAAAUGUCCAUCACGGGAAUCGAAUCUAGAUUACGUAGGUUGAAUAUGUGAUCACAUGAUUCCUAGGCUCACAUGAUGCCGCAAUUUGUAUGAAAGUAGUAAGCAGGUAUAUAUAUAUAUAUAUAGACAUGAUCAACCACCACAAAGCACCUCCAUGGGUGAUCAGAAAUGUAAAUAAAGCUGUAAAAGCGAUCAACCGCCACGAAGUAAACUCCAGGCAGGACAAAAUAUAUGUAUAUAUAUAUAUAUAUAUAUAUAUUAACAAUAAACGCACCGGAUGUAAAAUCCAGGCUCAUCGAGGCUCAUCGAACAGAGUUCGACAACAGUUUAUAUAUAUANNNNNNNNNNNNNNNNNNNNNNNNNNNNNNNNNNNNNNNNNNNNNNNNNNNNNNNNNNNNNNNNNNNNNNNNNNNNNNNNNNNNNNNNNNNNNNNNNNNNAUCAAGGAUAUUAACAAAAAUUGUCCUAACACAAUUAUAUGUUCACCAAAAUAGAGUUUUAUAGAUAUCCUUCAUUACUUGUCCCCUCAAAGAUCUCUAGAAUUGUUAGGCAACAUGAAACAUCAUGUUGAACAAGCAUUAUCAAUGAAUUUUAAGAUAAACAACAAAAACAGAGAGAAGUAGUUAGCGAAGUGAGAUAAACUUCCAAACACCCUAAAAGUUAUUGUAACUAUACAGUUUGACCUUAGAACAAGAUUAUUCACACAAUGACAACAUGUUAAAGCUAUAGCAUAAGUACAUAAAUGACCAUCUAUUGAACUAAAAUUCUGAAACAGAAGAUAUAUAUACAUAUAUAUAUAUAUAUAUAUAUAUA